Molecule: long non-coding RNA, 56969 nt
Filed under: Physcomitrium patens
Lineage: Eukaryota; Viridiplantae; Streptophyta; Bryopsida; Funariales; Funariaceae
Description: long non-coding RNA (PPAT_LNC004587)
Source: RNAcentral
CUAAAGCCCCGCCGGAAGUUCAUCCUACUACAGUGAGACCAAAAUCUUAAGACAUCCUUACAAGAAACAGAUCAGAACGAGCUCAAGGCAAAAAAAUAUCAGAGUACCACGGGUGGUUAUCCUACUUCAGGAACAGUGAAGGACGAUCCGUUGCUCUGCACUGCAGAAAGAGCACAAAAACAAACAAGUAACAAGAAACAAGUCGACAAACAUGUCGCCACUAACGCGACCUGCAGGCAGGUCCAGCGACCCCCGCAGAAAGGACAGUUAAAUCUCAAGUGGCUUUCCCCAGUGAACAGUUGCAUCUCUCCCGGCCCCAAACAGUAAAAUCCUUCAGUGUCUUUCCCUUCGGCAACCCCCUUGCAGUAGUCUUGUCACCAGUUAUCCGAUCCGAGACCCGCAGAUUUCCGAGCGCAGAGCGUCAUCCAUUCGUGAAUCCGGAAUGUUACUUAAACCACCAGAGGCUUCAACCACCUUUGACGGCUCUAAUAAUCGCUCUGGCGUUCGAUCCUCCAGUUCCCGGAACCCCCGCCACCUCCGCGACCUCCAUAACCACUGCCACCACCUCCGCGGCCUCCGUAACCACCACCGCCUCCACCCUCACGAUCUCCAUAGGACGGGCGACUUCCGUACCCACCACCACCACUCCCACCGUAGCUACCACCACCUCCACCAUAGCCGCCACCACCUUCACGGCGUCCACCACCGCCUCCUCCGUAGCCACCACCUCCACCGCCGCCUCCUCCACGGGACUGCGCUUGGUUCACAGUGAUGUUACGCCCGUCCAACUCCUUUCCAUUCAUUUCUUUAAUAGCUUCGUUCAUGGCGUUCUCGUCAGCAAACGUGAUGAAACCGAACCCGCGAGACCUUCCAGUUUCCCUGUCGGAGAUUACCUUGCUCUGAAUAACAUCUCCGAAAGGACGGAACGCUUGCUCCAAACGGUCGUCGGUGGUGGCCCAAGCCAGGCCCCCGACGAAGCACCUAAAUUCUUCUCCCAUCUUGAUAGUAUGAAGUGUUCGAAAAAAACGGACAAGUAACAAAGAGGCGCAGGGUGAACCCUGAAUGCCUCGGAGAUCAGAGAAAAGGAGACCAGAGUAGAGGCAAGAGAGUGCAAUGAGAAUAGGGCUGCGGGCACGAGAUUAUGAGGGGUGCGGGGAGCAAGCCAUGCCCACGCACGACUUUCGGUAGUUGGCAGAUUUCUGCGGUCGGGAGGCUCCACCGUCCGGUGGUCGCGGCACCGAUUACGUCCGAUGCGUUGAGAGCAUCCUGGCCGUGCGAUAUGUACCCUUCAGCAGUGAGAUAUUUUGAAGGUCCGGUCGUGGACAAAAAGUGGAGGGGGACUCUAGGAAAGGUCUAGAUUCCUAAAUUUUAUUAUGUAAGAAAGGGAAAGUGAAGCACAGCCAGCGAGCGAGCGAGCGAUCGUUCGGGUUCCUUCUAAGUUAACGACCAUGAGUGGUGACAAAACAGUUGAGCUCCUUUUCCCACCUGCCAUCGGUGAACUUUCGAAAACUCAUAUACUCGCCUUUAGUUCCUUCAAUACUGGUAAAGAGUAGAGGAUAGAAUCAAUCCCACGAUGCCUCAUGACACGUAGGUUUGGUAUCAGGUAUGGUUUUUGGUCCGGCCCGAGCCUCUUCUUCCUCCGAAGCUAACCCAUGCUUAUCGACAAGGUCCAAGUGGAAUUUGCGUUUGGGACAAAGAGGCAUGGGGAGAGGUGUGGGUACUUGUGGCCCUUUUUCCCCAGUUGGCCGUUGCACCCCCCCUGGCUCGGCAAACCUCGUCAUCCACACACGAGGCAUCUCUGAUCAUUGUGUGACUCACUUCCUCAUCAGCACAAUGGAUCUAGGCUAUUUGUAGAUUCCUAGCGGUUCUCCACGUCAUUGUUAUACCGUCCUGGCUACCAGACUUCGGUCUUUAUGUCUAUUCAGCUGCCAGCUGGGAUCUUGGAGGGGUUCUCAUUUGCGGACGUGGACGAACCCCCUAACCCAUUCGCUUCUUGGCUUUCCUUCUGCUUUCUUGCUUGCGCUUAAUUUCCUUUGGGACCGCUCCAGUGCAGGACUCGUCGUCUGUUCGUUGGAGCGCGUCUGGAUGAGAACAUCCAUCCACUCUAGCUGUUCUUUUUUAUUUGACUUUCAAUAAGGAAACACUCAAUAACACCUAAAAUAACUGCAUUAUUCAAAUAAAAAAAUUACAAGCAAACUGGUUGACUUUGAAGUUGUUGUUUAUAUAUUCCUUUAGUUAUUUAUGAACUAGUUUCCUAUUUCAUGUUUUAUUUUUAGUUUUUUUUUAAUUUUUAAUAUAAUUUUUUAAAGUUUACAACAUAACCGAUGUGGUAGAACUUUUGUGUGUUACUUUUUACUGAACACUACAAUAAAAUAAACAUAUUUAUAAUCAUCAUAAAUUUUAAUGACAUUUCUCUUGUACCAAAACAUCUUACGUAGAAUACCAUGUUUGAAAUGAAUUUCCUGACGUCAAGUUUCUCCACUACCAUCACUACAAAUUGUGAUGCUCUCUUAAAAGUUUUGAACAUCACACUAGUUAGUUAUUCAAUGUUAACAAUUUAAAUUAAGUUAAAUACAAUCCAAGAUGUGUAAAACAAAUGUAGAAAUCACUCACAUCACUCAGAAUUUUCAUUUGGUAAUCUGGAUGUUGAUGUUUAUUCCUCACAGAGAUGGUGCAGUUUCAUUCCAUGUACCUCCACGACAGUUAUUUCAGUCAUUACUGAUUAGAUGUAUCAUCCAAGUGGAGACAAGCUCUCUAUGCAGGGUAUAGAUUCCAUAUAUGUACAAUACACCUACAUAAACGAGGGUCAUGGGAUCCUGGUGAUCGACAAAACACGUGGCAUGCGAUAUUCUUUUGGAGGUAAGACUACAUCGCUGCAUUUGGUCUCAUGAAAAGAGGCGGCGGAGGCCAAAUUGCAGCAGCACCGAAAUGUAGUUAUUCAGCACAGUUUUUGGACACCCAACGCCACCUAUCUCUAGGCACCUAAAAUCUAAACUCACCCCACACGAGGCAUUAUCCACGACAUCGGUAUAUAUUCGGAGGAAAUUUUGUCAUCACUUACUUUUAAAGUAGUUGAGGGUGUGGGGGGGGGGGAGGUUGGGCCGGGUCGGGUCGGGCGAGGAUGGAGACAGCAUCGGAUUCCUUGAAUGGCAGGGGAGUCCUAUGCAAGGCAUGAAUGCUGCUGCCAUGCUAUAUCUAUAUCUAGAUAACUUGCUGGACACUGAAUCUGGUGUGGGAGAUAUUUUUGUUAUUUGUUGUUGCUAUUAUUAUGAUUAUUAUGCUUAUCUUCCUUUACCCCAAUUGUACACAUUCAAGUGCUGACUGGUCUGAUGGAGGGUUUUGUCAUAACUCUGCCAGAGUGAGGGGGUGUACUUGUGUGUGCAGAGUACUUCGCGCUCAGGGGUCUUCGUCGUGGGCCUAGUCUAUGUACUCUUGAAGACUUCAACGGGAACUGUGGAGCUAGGGAGAGAGUGAAGGCGAUGUUUUGGAUUGUUGAAAUCAAAUAAUUUAUUUGUUGGUAUUUAAAUUUUCGGGAAUAUACAUAUAUAUAUAUAUAUAUAUAUACACAUAACUUGAGACGUGUAUAAAUGUAGGAUGUUGCUAAUGUCACCACAAUUUUGGCUACUACCAUCACAAUUUAUUGUUAAUAUGGUUUUAAUUAUUUUUUAAAUUUCAAUUAAUUUUAAUUUCUAUAUAAUAUCAAAAAAAAUAUUGGAGAUAUCAAAAAAAUUAUUAAAAUAAUAUUCAUUAAUUUUUUAUUUAUUUUUAGAUAGGUGGCAUGUUAUGAAUGUAAAAGCAAAAAUUGUGGUGGCAUUAGCGAUAUCUUAUGUAUGUAUGUAUUUGAAGAAAGAAUAAAAAUAUAUUAAAUUUUGGCCUUUAAAGAGUAUUUGAUAAAUAAUACAAAAAAACAAUAUAAUGUUUUUUAAAUACAUUUAAAGUAGUUUCUCAUGUAAUGCUUAAAAAAAUGACAUUCAAAAACUUCACCAAUGACAUGAUUUUGAGACUAGAUACAUACUAAAGAAUAGUAGCAAAGCUCAAAUCUAAAGCAUAAAAAUGCCACAAAAGUGUGUGUAUCUUUGCAAAAGUAGCUCAAAUUGCACUUCAUAAUCUUCUACAUAUCAUUUGUAUAAUGUAGAAUCUUCCAUUGGUUUAUUGAAAGGAAACAACUUUUUUCAUUUUUAUUUGAUUUUUUAUUUGAUUUUCCAAUAUAUUUUUGUAAUUUUAUUAUCAAUGGUACAACAUCUAUAACUACAUAUGCAAAGAGAGUCCAAGGCAUCUCCAACAAUAACAAUACAUUAUACAACUAAGAGAAGUCUACUAUCUAAGAUUCAAAUUUUAAUCUAGCAAUGGACAUGUUAGAAGAGCAAACUCUACUUAAUUCCUUUCAUCAUUAUCAAUAUAGUGACCACUCAUACCUUACUCAUUAGAUUGCAAGUUACUUACAAAGUUACUUUGGUUUAUUAAUUUAAAUUAUCCUUUCAAAGUGGAAAUAGACUAGGAACUUGUGCAAAAGAAAGUAAAAAAACUUUUAUGCAUUAUCAUUAUUGUUUGCUUUACAUAUAACAAAUAUAGAGAUAAUGGUCUUGAAGUAUGUUAAGUAUUUCUAAAAUAAAUAACCAAAGGCUUUGUAUAUAUAUAUAUAUAAAUAAAAAAAUAAAUAUAUUUAAAAAUAUUCUAAAAAGAGUAAUCUUGGUGGAUUUUAAUUUUAUUGUCUUAUAAUUUAAAGAUUAUUUUUGCACCUUUUAAUCCUAAAUUAUAACUUUAAUACUAUAAUUAUAUAAAAUCUCUUCCUAAAUAGAAUCAACGAAAACUUCAAAAGAAAUUGUUUCAAUUGUAUUAGACAUUUGCACCAAGUUUGAAAACAUUGUAGGUUUAAAAAGUAUAUAUUUUUGUAAAAUAAACCUUAUAUAUACUUUGUAGGAUUAUAAAUAAGAUAAAAUAUAGUGGAUUAGUAAAAAUAAUAUUAUAAGUAUCUUUAGGUAUAACUUUAGAAUAGCUUUAGCAAAAAUUAUUUAUAAAAACUAUAGAUUGAUACAUGGAGAAGAAUAAUUAUGAAUUUAGAUCAUAAUUAACUCUUAAGACACAAAAUUGCAUAUCUACAACAAUGAUAGGAUUUUUUUUAAUGAUUAAAAAAAUAAUUCAAGAAUAAACUUCAUAAGAUUGGAUAAACGUUAGAUUAGAGUGAUUUGGAUGGAUAUUGAAUUUGUAAGAGCUUUACAAAGUCAAGGUUAUUUUAGGUGAUUUGAAAUUUUGUGAAAUAAAAAAGGUUUAUAUUUGAGAUAAUUUUGUAAGCAUUCUAGCAGAUCAAUAAGUAAAAAUUUAUAGGAUUAAGAAUCUUUUUUAAAAUGUAUCAUUUUAUAAAUUUAAAAUUAAUUAAAAUUAUUUCAAGAAUGUUUAGUUUUUUUGUUUUUGACAAUAGACAUUCUAUUUUUAAUAUUAUACUAUCUUUGAAUAAAUAUCUAUUUUUUUAAGUGAUAUAAGAAGAUAUUGAUGUAUGGUUGUUUGUGAUUUUUGUCUUUGAUAUAGAAUUAUAUUAUAUCUUAUCUUUUCUUAAUAGAUGUAUUAAAAAAAAUGGUUUAUUAUAUUACUUAUGGGAUAAUAAAAGAAAAAAAUAAAGGUUUUUGUAAGACUGAACAAGUUUUAUUUAAGCUCCCAUUUUUUUCAUAAUAUUAAAUUUUAUAUUGCUAAACAAGAAAAAAUAGUAUAUUAUUUGAUCACCUUUAAGUUGAAUUUAUUUUUCAAUUGAAAAAUAUAAAUGUAAAUCAUCUAACUUCAAUAUGAUUAUUUAUUAGUAAAAAAAUCAUUGAAUCUUUCAACAUAUUAAUGAUAUAUGGUCUUGUUAUAAUAUUACAUAUUUUAAAUUUUUUCUUGUAAAAUUUUAUAUGUCUUUAUUUAAUAUUUUGUAAAAAAUAAAUAUUUUUGUAAAAAAAAUAAUACAUCAAAUUAUAAAAUCAAUUAAAAAAGCCCUACAUCUUUCUUCACACAUAUGUUUAAGAUAUGUUCAAAUAUUUUUCAAUCAAAUUAAAGAUUUGCAACUAGAAAGGAAGUCAAUACUUACUUAGAUUAAAUAGAGAAAGAUUGAAGAUAAUUCUAACAAAGAUUUCUAUGCAAAGAUUAAAAAUAAAUAUUCUAAAUGUAAUAUUAUUGCAUUCUAAUACUCCAAAAGUGAGCAACAUAGAGACCUUUGACACCAACAAAUAUUUGUUUCAAUUUUUUAUUUUAUUCUUUAUAAAAAACAAAUUAAAGGAUUUAGAAAAUUUAAAGAGAUUAUAACUAUUUUUUUUAAUAAUAUUACAUGAAAGGUCAAAAAAUAUGUAAACAAAUAUUUAUUAAAUCCAUUUAAUAUAUACAAUAAUGAUAUUUAAAAAAAGACAUGGCUAAAAGCAAAGCACCUUGAUUAGGGAGAAAUUGUUUAUUCUAAAUAAAGUAAGUAUUAAAAACUUUUAGACCUUCUGAUAUAAUAUUGAUAAUAAUUAUAUUUCUGAAAUUAACCAUAUUUUAUCUUAAGGCUAAUUCUAAUACAAUAUCUUCAAAGGUUUUUUCUUUUUCUUUUUCUUUUUUUCUUUUCUUUUUUGCACAAAAGAGAUUAUAAGACAAAGUUAGGUAAUUGAAGGCUAAUGACAUUAUCAAAAAAUUUCAAUAAAAUUUAUACUAAAGUAAUCUAGCCUUAGAUCUAAGCAAUUUUUAUAGAAAUUAUUCAUCCUAACUAAUUUCUAUUUCUUCCCUUGAGAUUUAUUUUAUAUAAUAUGUUACUUAUCUAAGAAAGCAUAAACUAAGCCAGGACUUCAAAAUAAGCUCUGCUUUUCUUAAAAAUUUAUUUUGCGAAGCCUAUGAUAAAGUCUCUUGCAAAUUGGUAUUUAUAGCCUUCAAAAAAAACAUCUUUGAUAAAUUUUCUUUUACUUACAUGAUUAAAAUUAGUGCUUAAGAUGCAAGCACAACAUCAAGUAUUAACAAGGUUUCUACAAAAGAAAAAAUCCAUUAAAUGAAGUGUGAGACAAAGUUGCCGUUUAGUACAUUACUUCUUCAUUUGAAUUGACAUAAUUCUAAAUAUUGCAGUUCAACAUAAUGUCAAAUAACAUUAUUUAUAAGACAUUUAUAUAUUUUGGAGUUCAAACCUACAAAUCAUCAGUCUAUAUGAUAAUGACUUAAUGUUUCCUUGAAUAUACAUGAAGUUGAUAAGUUUUUAAAGAAUAGAAUGAAUAUAGAAUUAGAAUAGUAGUGAUCUAUCAAAAUGAAUGUGGUUAGUUGAACCAUUAUUUAAAAUAUAUAUAUAUAUAUAUAUAUAUAUAUAUAUAUAUAUAUAUAUAUGAUUAUUUUUAGCCAUAUGGACUAAUUUUGUGAAGGUUGUUAAAGAAAUUAAAUUAUUGAUUAAUAUUUCUUUUGAUAAAAAAAACACUACUUCUUUAACUUUUUCUAAAGUUGCUUGAUUUAUUUGUCAUAAAAGUUGUGAAGAAAGAGGCUUCAGUAUCAUUGCUCCAAAUGAAGCUAUCAUAGCCUUUUUAUUUAAAUAUAUGUAAUUGACUCUUGAACUUGGCCAAAAAAAUAUUCAAUACUUUCUUAGACUUAAAUUAAUGAAAGUUAACCUACGGCUUAUGAAAAAUGGGUUCCAGAUAUGGUUUGGUCCUUUACUUCAAAUCACAAAUGGAAUUUAGGAUCUAAAAUAUAAAACAAUAUUGAAAAAGUGUAAAAUCAUAUGUAUGAGUUCUUUUGGCUCAACUAUUUUACGUCUUUUUGUAACCUAUAGAACUAUUUUCGAUAGUAGAAUCUUCAAUUUUUUUUAAUUGACAUUCACCUUAAAUUCCAUCAAGUUGUUUUCUUUCAUUCAAAUGAUCUUCAUUUUAUCAAAAAUCUCUUCAAAGAGCUUAUAAAUCCUCUUACUACUAAAAAAAAGAAUAUUUUCAUACUUUAUAGCUCUAUUUGAAUUUAUUUCUACUUGUAUAAUUUUAAUUAUUAAAAAAUAAUCUUCAGUAUGAUAAUUUUUUUAAAAACAAUCCAAUCAUAGGAUUAGACUAUACAAAUUGAAGUUUGCUCAUCUUCUUAAUGUUGUAUUUUAAUUUCCUUGAGAAUAUGUUGGAGAAGAAAAAAAUAAGUAUUUAUCCUAUCUAGAGAUUCAAAAUUAUUAUUCUUUUUAAAUAGGUAUUCAAUCAAAAAUUCUUCACUUUAAUACAAAACAUUUGCUUGACUAAGACUUUGAAGAGGAUGCAAAUCAAGUUGAAGGUUUUUUUUAAAUGGUGAGAGUUAUUACAAAAAUACAAUCAACAAGAAAACAUGCUUUUGAUGUUGGUUUCUUCUAUGGUCCACUAUUUGACCAUUGUUUUUGUAUCAUAUAUAUAAGUUAUUAGAAAAAAAUCCGUACAACAUUCUAUCUAAUCUGGUAAAAAUUCAAUUCAAAGUAAUAUAUCUUUGAAUAAUUUAAUACACACACACACACACAUAUAUAUAUAUAUAUAUAUAUAUAUAUUUAUUCUCCUAAGUCUUAUUGCUUGAUUAAAUAGUUACUUAGAAUCUAGCUCCUAUAAAGAAGCUAACUUUAUUUAACUUGUAUGGCACAAAGAUGUUUCAAAAAAUAUUUAUAGUAGCAUCAUGAUUCUUGAUACUAAUAUUUGGUCUACUAUGAAUCAACUCUAAAUACUUGAAUUUAUUCACCACUAGUUUGAUAUCAUUAUUAAGCUAUGAUUAUCAUAUUAAUAUUUUAAUAUAUUAUAAAGUAUAUAAAUAUAUAAAAAUAAGGAUGUUUAUUGAUUUAUCAUAUCAAUAUAAAUAAGGAUAUUUCCUGGUAUUUUUGUUUUGUUUAAUUUUUUAAUAUUUUAAAUCUUAUUUGAUGCAAAGACAUGUUGUGCUUCAUUCAUUAAUGGAAUAAAACAAAAAAAAAAUAAACUUCUUAACAUCAUAUAUUAGGAAGAAUAGCCAAAUGUACUAAAAACAUCGAACAACUAUCAAAGCCACCUUAUUAAUACUAUUACAUAUCAUCAAAUUACACUCAGAUAUUUUAGAGUUUCAUUUAAUUAAUUUUUUGCUUUAAAAACCAAAUGGCUCAUUAGUUAUGCAAGAAUUUUUUCAUCUCAUAAGUGAUAAAGAUUUAUAAAAUAUAUUAUUUAUACAUAUAGAAGAUAAAAACAUGUACAAAUCAAUAAAAAAAACUAAUACAAAAUUACAUUUCUUCUAUACAACAAAACUAAUAAGACAAAAAUAAAUUAAAAAAAAAAUUUUGAAAGCAAAAAUGUUUAGGUUUCAUAAUUUUGUUUUAUUCAAAAUUAGAUAUAUUUGAUCUUAAUUUAGCUUUUAUAAUUACAAAGAUAUAUUUAAUUAAUAUAAAAUUUUAAUAAAAUAGCCUCUUUUCUAUUUUUUUCUAUUAUUUAUUUUAUUUUUUUAAGAUACAUAAUAUAUAUAUAAAUUCUUUUGUAGCUAAAGUUUUUUAGCAACAUGAUGUAUAUAUUAUAAUUUUUUCUAUAAUUUAUCAUAUAUCACAUAAUAUAUAUAUUUUAUAAUUUUAAAUUUUGAUUUAAAAUAUUAAAUUAAUGCAUUUUUAUUAUCCAUAGCACAUAUAUUAAAUCUUAGUAUAUUAAAAAUUAAAUAAUAUACAAUAAAAAUUUUAAAAUUAGAUUUUUUUUUUAUAUUGAGUAUUUAUGUGAAAAAUAAGUAGAGUUUUUAAACUAACAUUCUAAAAUAUUUUAAUAUUAAUUUUUAAUAUUAUUUAAUCAUUUUUAGUUUUUUUGUCAAUUGAAUAUUAAUUUUUGAGGAUGGAUUAAAAAAUAUUUCUUGAUUUAAAGUAUUUUUGAUACCAAAAAUUAUUAUAAAAUUGAAUAUGUGUCAAGUUUUUUAGAUAAAAGGUAUUUACUUAAUAGUUUAUAAAAUAUUUUAGAAUAGUAAUAUUAUAAGUUGGAAGGAAUUAAUAAAUUUAAUAAAAGCACUCACUUAGAAUUAAGAGGAUUUUGAGUGUAUGUAUAUUUGAAUGGAAAUAUUAUACAUUGAAAGUAUUUUAUACAUUUGUAAUAAAAAAAUAUAAAAAAAUUUAUGGAUAUACAUAUAAUGAUUUCAAAUCUCAGUUAAACCAUAUAACAAAAGAUAAAAUAGAAUAAAAAUCCUAAUUAUAAAAUAAUAAAUAUAUAAAUUUAAUAUCACAUUUAUAAUUUCUUAUAAUAAAAAAUCAAAUAGAUAAUUAUGUUCUUAAGUUUUGUUUCAUAUUAAGAAUACAUUCAAAUUAUUCUAAAAUAAAAAUUCAAAGUGUACAAUGUAACAAAAUAAAAUUAAAAACAUCAUGUCAAAAAUUACAUCAUCUAUUUGAUAUAUGCUUAUUUUAUAUAUUUAAAUUAAAAAUUAAAAAAAUAAUUUUUAAUUCAAGAAAAUUUUAAAAUAUUUAUUUUGAUUUAAAAUUAUAUUUGAGAUAUAAAAAAAUUAAUAUUUUGCUUUAUUAAAUAUUUUAAUAAUUAUUAAACCAAAUUUAAUUGGUUUAUUUUUUUUGAUUGAAGAUAAAUUUUUUGAUCGAAUACAUAUAAAUAUUUUGGUGUUAUAAUUUUGUAUCUUUUAUUAUGAUGUUACAUAUAUAAAUAUGUUGGAUGUAUUAAUAUACAUCAUCAUUACUUUUUGCAAAUAUAUCAUUUAUUAUGAAAAAGAAAAUAUGGAUGAAUUUUAUUUCGAUAAAUUUGCAAAAGGAAAUAUUAGUAGAAAUAUUUUCAAGAUAUGUAGAUACUAUAAAGUAAGAUUACAAAGUUUUUUAAUACUGAAUUAAAUUAUUAUUAGAACAAGACCCAAAAUCUUUAAAAAUCUUUUAGCUAAGAUGGAUGGAAUAAAAUAAUUGAUAAUUUUUACUAACAAAUAAGACAAUAAAAAGGAUUUCUAUAGUCCAAGAUAAAUCAUCUUAAAUAUCUUUUGAAUCUAUACUCAUAUCAUAAGCUUUAUGCUAGGACAAUACUUCUUGAUAUCAUAAAACACAUCACUAUUUCUUUCAAAAACUUAAAGAAGUUCUUGAGGCUUUUCAAAUAUACUAACAUUGUUAAGAUAAUAAAGUCAUGCUUCUUAAUAUAAAUAAUUAAACCAAAAUAUAGAAAAAACUAUUAGAGUCAUAAAUUCUUUCUCCUUAAAAUAUUUCAAAAGAAGCAUGUAGUAUCAAAUAAAAGAAUAUAUAUUAAUAUUAAUAGCAAUAUUAUUAAUAUAUAUAAUAUUAAUAUAUUUUCAAAAAAAUAUAAAAUAUAUACUACUAAUAUUGAUGAAUUAUUAUUUAUAUUUAGAAUAUUUUUAAAAUACUUUUUUGUAUAAAUAAAGAUCAUUACACACAACAUAUCAAGUGCCACCAACCAAUUAUAAAGUAUGUAAUUCUAAACAAAUACAAAUACACACCUAAUACAAUGUCAAAAAAAGAUUAGAAAUCUAUUCCAAACUAAGUGAAGUUAUCUCUUAUACCACAAAGUAGGAAAUCUAAGAAUACAAGUGUGAAAAUAAGAGAAAUCUUAAAGCUUUAUUAAAAUGGCUAAAACACCAUAGGUAAGAAAACCCUUAUAACAAGUUCUCUCACUCUCAAAAUGACUCAUAAGACUUGACUUGACAAGAGUGUCAAGUCAAGGAUUUUUUUUUUACUUAAGUACUCAAAUCUUAAUUGAUAUGAAUAAGUCAACUCACAAAAAAACUAUCAAUGGAUGAAAAACCACUAAUUAAACUAAAUUACAUACAUCUAACAAGAUUUGGUACCUAUUAUCAUAUCACAUCAUAGUUUUCAUGUAAACAAAGAUUGUUACAUACAAUACAUCAAGUGCCAGCAACCAAUCAUAAAAUAUGUAAUUCAAAACAAAUACAAAUGUACAUCCAACAUACUCUCAAGUAUCUCCCUUCGUUGAUUAAUAGCCCUUCCAUUCAACUAGGACCAUCAAUAUACAUUGUUGAAGACAAACGUUAUUAUGAUGUAAAUGCUGAACUACACUCUUCUAAGCUUAGUAUUAUAACAACUAGAUCACUGAAGUGUGUGACACAUACAAUAGAAGAAAUCUUUAAUCCUUAUUAAAAGAUGAAGCAUGGUUAGAAGGCUUAUGUCACAAACAUACCCAUGUAAGCCAAUAAUUACUUGUAUAAAUAGAUAGAAGUAAGUAAAAGUAGUUAAAAAUAAGUUAAUUCUAUAAAUUUUUCUAUAGAAUCUUUAUAGAUAGUACUUUGACUUUAUAAGUGUCUAUAAUUGACUGUUUAAGUUAAAAAAGUCGUCAACCAGUUCGCCAUGUGCCACACAUGUUAUUAGCUUGAAGACCAAGCUAGCUAUAUAGCCCACAUAUAGAAAAACUUGCCUUGGAAGUCAAGGCAUGUGUCCUACAAAGUCAACACAUAUUAGAGGUCCUAUAGAACAUCACCAUGUAGUUCCUAGUUAGAUAGUAUAUUUAGAGACAAAAGUGAAGCCUUCUUCACUCUUGUCAACUCUUUUCUUGCUUCUAGUCUAGUUUAAAGAGUCUCAAAGAAAUAAAGACAAGUUUAAUAGAAAUAAAGACAAUCGAUCUAUAACGUUAUAUACUUUAUACUUUCAAAAACUUGCAAUUGAUAUUAAGUGGGAUGAUAUUGUACUUAUUAGCCAAUUUCUCUAUAGAUUACAAUAUAAAGUAAAGAAAUUGAUAUUCAACUUAUUUGAUCUUCAAACAUUGGGUCAAGCAAUUGACUUUGCUAUGAAAUGCAACAAUCAAUUUUUUGAAUUUCGAUCUGAAAGUCGCACAAAUGAGCCUCAACGUUACUAUAAUUUAAUGGAAAUACCAAUAUCUUUUCAACACAUACAUUCAAAAGGAGAGGAUGAAAAAAUUGAUGCGAUACAUUUUAAACCUCUUAUCGAGGAAGAAAAGACUCAUUGUCAUCAAGAAGGAUUAUGCUUAUAUUAUGGAAAACCUAAACAUACUCAUCAAUAUUUUCCAAAGAAGGAUCAAAAUCACAAUAUGAGAAGCACAUCUAUCAAAGAAGACAAUGUCUUAAAAAAUGAAGUCGUCCAACUAGAAUAGGGAUCAUGUACUUGGAAUCUUAUAUAAUUUUUAAUAAAGGUCAUGUCUUCUCCUUGAAACCCUCUCCUUGUUUUAUAAUAGAUGUACAUUUAAGACCUAAUAAUUAUAAAGUCUUUGCCUUGAUAGAUUUAGAAGCCUCAACUUAUUUCUUAGAUGUAGAAUUUGUUAAAAGUCAUAAAGUACUAUUUAUAUAAAAAACCAAACCUGCAAAAGUCAUAGAUGAUUGUCCAUUGUCUUUUGGAGAUGUUCUUCAUGAAACUUUUCCUAUAGAUGUAGCAAUAAAUGAUCAUAGUAGUUCCAUAAUCUUUAAUAUAAUUAGAUCUUCCUAGUAUCCCAUCAUUUUAGGUUUAUCAUGGUUAGAAAAGUAUAAUCUUUUCAUAGAUUGGAUUUUUUGUACCUUUGAUUUCUUUAAAAGUAUAAUUAAGAGUGAAAUGAAUCCAAUAGAAAGUCAUAAGCCUAGUACAAUUAAACCUAUAUUUGUAGGUGCAAGAGCUUUCUUGUAUGUUGCAAAAGAAAGAUCACCUUAUGUCAAUUAUGCCACACGUGUUUCUAAUGAUGCAAAGACUUCAAAUAGCAUUUCCAGCUAAUAUCAAGAGAUUCAAGAUAUAUUUGAAAAGAAGAAUGCAAAUACUCUUCUAGAACAUUGUGCUUAUGACUACUCAAUUAACCUUUAAGAAGGAGCACAACUACCAUUUGGAUCAAUCUAUAGUUUUUUACAAAAUGAAUUGAUUAAACUCAAGGAAUAUAUUCAAGAAAAUUUGGCAAAGAAUUUCAUACAUCAUUCCAAAUCACCAACAAGAGCUCCAAUCUUAUUUGAAAAGAAGAAAGAUAGAUCAUUGCAAAUGUAUGUUGAUUAUUGAGGAUCCAAUAAGAUCACCAUUAAGAAUAAAUACCCUCUACCUUUAAUAUUUAGACUUCUUCAUCAAUUGAAUCAAGCUAAGAUCUACACAAAAAUAGAUCUAUGGGGAGCAUAAAAUCUAGUAUAUAACAAAGAAGGAGAUGAAUAGAAGACUACGUUUUGAACUAGAUAUAGACAUUUUGAAUACAACGUCAUGCCUUUUGGACUUACAAAUAUAUCGACAGUUUUUCAACAUCUAAUGAAUGAUGUUUUUUGAGAGUUUUAAGACAAUUUUGUUGUUUGUUAUUUGGACGACAUCUUUAUCUAUUCUAAGAAUACAUAUGAACAUAAAUUACAUAUUUGUCAUGUGUUACAAAAAUUAAGAGAUGUGAGAUUCUAUGCUAAGAUAGAAAAAAGUAUAUUCUACAUUACUCAAGUCGACUUUUUAAGAUACAUCAUUUCAAAUGAUGGACUUAUGAUGGAUCCUGAGAAAGUUCAAACAAUUAUGGAUUAAAAGAUUCUAAAAAUAAUAAAAAAUAUCCAAUGCUUUUUGGACUUUGUCAACUAUUAUUGGAUCUUCAUCAAAGACUACUCUGAAGUUGAAGCUCUACCUACACGUUUGACUUGCAAAGACAAACUUCAGUGGAGUAAAGAAGUUGAAGCAUCUUUUGAAACUUUGAAGUCAACUUUAAUUUUUGAACAUAUCUUGUAUUGCAUCAACUUUUUUAAGGCAUUUUUUAUGAAAACAAAUGCAUCAAAUUUUACUUUGGAUAUCGUAUUAUCAUAAAUGGAAACAUAUAAUAAACUUUGCCCAUUAGCUUUUCAUUCUAGAAAAUUUUCAACAGCCGAGAUUAAUUAUGAAAUCUAUGACAAAGAACUUCUUGGAAUCGUGGAUUCAUUUCAAGAAUGGCAUCAUCAUCUAGAAGGGGCUUUAAAUCCAAUCAUCGUAUAUACAAAUCAUAAGAAUCUUGAGUAUAUCAUAUCAACAUAUGUUUUAAAUUGUAGCCAAGCCCGUUGGAGCAUGUUUUUAUCAAGAUUUGAUUUCAAGAUCACAUAUCAACUUGGAAAACAACAAGGUUUGUUAGUCGCCCUUUCUAGACAUUCUUAUCUUGCACCAAAAGAAAGAGAUGCAUUUUUUGAUUAGCAAAGAAUAAUUUUCUUGAAGCCAAAGUAUUUUUAUCUUCAAGUAAUGAAAUCAAUAUUGAUUGUUGAUUAGACUCUUGUGAAACAAAUCCAAUCAAGUACAUCUUUUGAUUCUCUUGUUCAUAAUAUCAAGAAUCCUUCUUCUAAGUUCCAACAUACUUUUAAAUUUGAAUUCAAAGAAAACCUAUUCUAUUUUUAAAAUUGAUUAUAUGUUCAAAAAAGAGAAGCAUGAUUAUGUAUUCUUCAAGCACAUCACGACUUUCCAAUAAAAGGACAUUUUUGAUACAACAAGACUUAAAACUUAUAUCUAGAGAUUUUUAGUGAUCUCAAAUGUAGAAGGGUGUGAAAGACUUUGCUAAAAUAUGCGACAUUUGUUCAAGAUCAAAAACUCCUCUUCAUCGACAUUACGGACUUCUUCAACCAUUACCUAUUCCAGAACAACCAUAGCCUUAUGUUUCUAUGCAUUUCAUCACAGAUCUUUUAAUCUCAGGUUCUUAUGAUACUAUAUUCGUGAUAGUAGAUCAUUUUAUCAAGAUGACAUAUUUUGUAUUAUGUACAAAAUCUAUCAGAAGUGAAGAAAUAGCUAAAUUCUUUCUUAAAAAUAUCUAUCAUUAUCAUAGAUUAUCCAAGGAUAUUAUAUCUGAUAGGAGAACUCAGUUUGUAUCAAGAUUUUUGGUGGACUCUUUUCAAGAUUCUAAAAGUGGAUAUAAAACUAUCUUCAGUAUUACAUCCUCAAAUUAAUGGACAAACAGAGCACAUUAAUCAAGUUUUGGAACAGUAUUUAAGAUGUAUCAUCAACUACCAACAAGAUGAUUGGAUAAUUCUUUUGCCAUCCGCAGAGUUUGUUUAUAAUAAUAUGAUACAUUCUUCUUCAAAACAAACACCUUUCUUUGCCAAUUAUGAUUAUCAUCCAUGACUUCAUAUUUUUUACUUUUCAAAAGUUGAUAAUCGUAUGGCAAAAGAUUUAGCAAAUCAUUUGUCACAGCUACAUGCAACAAUGAAGGCACAAUUAAAAGAAGCUCAAGAAUAAUAAAAGAUCAGUGCAGAUGUCUAUCAAAAGGAACAACCACCAUUUCACCUAGGUGACAAAGUAAGGUUACUUUGUCGCAAUAUCAAGACCAAUCAUCCUUAUGAUAAGUUGAACUAUUGUAAGCUUGGACCAUUUGCUAUUUCUACACAAAUCAAUCCAAUUGUAUAUUAUUUACACCUACUAGAGUCAAUAAAAAUCCAUCUAAUAUUCUUUGUGUCUCUUUUUGAACUAUACAAGACAAUAGACAUACUAAAAAAAAGACUAGCUCCACCUUUUCUUAUAGAAGUAGACAAUUAUGAAGAAUUUAAAGUAGAAGAAGUCCUAGAUUCAAGGCGGUACCAAAAUAAAUUAGAAUAUCUUAUUGUCAAGGACAAGAACUCGAUGAAAAAUCAAUUCAGACAAGUGAGCUUUCACUCAAAGAAAGGUAACAAAAUAUAAAUAAAUAAGUAUGUAUAUGUCACGGCCAUAAUCAUGUAAGCUAAUAAUUACAUAUAGAAAUAGGUAGAAGUAAGUAAAAGUAGAUAAAAGUAAGUUAAUUCUAUAAUAUUUAAUAUAGAAGCUUCCUAGAAACUUCUUAGACGCUGCUUUGACUUCAUAGGUGUCUUUAAUUGACUUUUUGGAUUAGAAACGUGGUCAACAAGUUGGCCAUGUGCCACACAUGUUGUUAGCUUGAAGAUCAAGCUAACUAUGUGGCCCACACGUAGAAAAACUUGUCUUGUAAGUCAAGGCAUGUGUCCUACAAAGUCAACACAUAUUGGAGGUCCUAUAGAACGUCGCCACGUAGCCCCUAGUUAGAUAGUAUAUAUAGAGACAAGAGUGAAGGCUUCUUCACUCUUGUCAACUCCUUUCUUGCUUCUAGUCUAGUUUCAAGGGUCUCUAGUUUUCUUGUCUUUUGGCAAUAGCCAUUCCAGUUUCUCUUUCAAUAUAUAUAUUUGUUUAUUUACCUCUCUUUGAGUGAAGGCUCACUUGUCUGAAUUAUUUUUCAUCGAGUUCUUGUCCUUGACAGAUUGACAAGAGUAUACUUACAAUAUCAGAGCUUUAUUUUCUCUUGAGUAAGAGUGGAUUACCCCUUUCUCUUGACAAGACAUAAGCAUAUUAGAAGUUUGCGGAUUAUCCACUUCUAAACUGGUAUUGUUCUUAGUAUCUUCUUUGUUAUCAAGUCUUUCUUUUCUUUUGUCUUAAGCAGUAUUAAACAAAUUUUUCUUCUUAGUAUCAUUAUGGCAGAGCUUGUUGAAAUGAAGAGUGCAAUGGCACAAAUGCAAGAGCAAAUGAGGGAGUUAAUGCUUGCAAUGCAUCAACUCAAUUCACCAACACAAGAAAGAACAAGAAUAGCAGAAAGUGGGGAUAUAGAGAUGAUCGGAGCUGCUUCAACAUCUGCAACAAAUCAUGUUCCUUCUCCAAUUGUACAACACCCUGUAAGCACUAGAGAACCAAGAAUUGCCUUACCCGAGAAGUUUGAUGAUACGAGAUCAAAGUUUCGAGGAUUCAUCAAUCAAGUACAAUUGGCAAUUGAACUUCAACCGCAAAGCUAUCCAACUCUAGGAUCACAAGUCAGGUUUAUUGGCACUCUACUUUUUGGUUCUGCAUUAUCGUGGUUUUCGUCUUUUCUUGAACAACGAAAUCCAAUAUUAGAAAAUUUGAAAGUUUUUUUGGCAGAGUUUCGAUCUAUGUAUGGUGAACACGAUGCAACUCGUGUUGCAACAAAUAAGAUCCGAAUUCUGCGACAAGGAAAUCGCUCAGUAACAGUGUAUGCUUCACAAUUUCGACAACUUGCAAUUGACAUCAAGUGGGAUGAUGCUGCACUCAUCAGUCAAUUUCUUUAUGGAUUGCAAUACGAAGUAAAGAAAUUGAUGCUCAACUUACCUGAUCCUCAAACUUUGAGUCAAGCAAUCGAUUUUGCGGUAAAAUGUGAUAAUCAACUUUUCGAAUUUCGAUCUGAGAAUCAUUCACGGGAACCUCAACGUUAUUACUCAAUGGCAACAUCAACAUCUCUGCCAAACAUACAUUCGGAAGUAGAAGACAUGCAAAUUGACGCGGUACGUUUUAAACCCCUAACUGAGCAAGAAAAGAUUCGUCGUCGUCAAGAAGGAUUAUGUUUAUAUUGCAGAGAACCUAAGCACACUACUCAACAUUGUCCAAAGAAGCGACAUAACUAUAAAAUGAGGGGUACGACGGUCAAAGAAAACAACAUGUCGAAAAACGGAUUCGUCCAGCUACAAUAGGGACCAUGCAGCUGGAACCUUGUACAAUUCCUAAUGAAGGUCCUAUCCUCUCCUCAGAACCCUCUCCUUGUUUUAUAAUAGACUUAUAUUUAGGACCUAAGAAUUACAAAGCCUCUGCUUUAUUAGAUUCGGGAGCCUCAGCAUGUUUUUUAGAUGAAUAAUUUGUUAAGAGUCAUAAAAUACCUUUUGUACAGAAACCUAAACCAGUACAUGUAGAAGUCAUAGAUGGUCGUCCCUUGUCUUCUGGAGAUGUCACUCAUGAAACUCAUCCUAUAAAAGUAACAAUAGACGGUCAUGAUAGCUACAUAGCUUUUAACAUAAUUAAAUCCCCGUCCAAUCAAAUUAUUUUAGGUUUAUCCUGGCUAGAAAAAUAUAACCCUCGAAUAGAUUGGAAUUCGCAUAAACUUGACUUUUUCCAGAGUAUUAUUAAUAGUUCUACCAACCAAGUAUAAAAAUUAUAAGUCUAGUAUAGUAAAACCCGUACUGAUAGGUGCAAAAGCAUUUAUACACGCAGCAAAAGAAGGAUCAAUUUUUGCUAUUUAUGCUGCACCUAUUUCUGAAAACGUAAAGACUUCAAGUGGCAUUCCAAGUCAAUAUUAGGAGUAUCAAGACAUUUUUGAGAAAAAGAAUGCAGAUAUUCUUCCUGAGCAUCGCCCAUAUGAUUGUUCAAUCGACCUCAAGGAAGGAACUCAGCCACCAUUUAGACCAAUUUACAAUUUAUCGCAAGAUGAGAUGGCUGAACUCAAGACAUAUAUUGACGAGAAUUUAGCGAAGAAUUUCAUAUGCCAUUCAAAAUCUCCAGCAGGAGCUCCAAUUCUAUUCGUAAAGAAAAAAGAUGGAUCUUUACGAAUGUGUGUUGAUUAUCGAGGACUCAACAAGAUCACAAUCAAGAAUAGGUAUCAAUUACCUUUGAUAUCAGGACUCCUUGACCAGUUGAAUCAAGCUAAGAUCUAUACAAAAAUAGAUCUAAGAGGAGCAUAUAAUCUAGUACGGAUCAAAGAAGGAGAUGAAUGGAAGACUGCGUUUUGAACCAGGUAUGGACAUUUCGAAUAUAAUGUCAUGCCCUUUGGACUCACGAAUGCACCAGCUGCUUUUCAACAUCUCAUGAAUGAUAUAUUUCGUGAAUUCUUAGACAAUUUUGUCGUCUGCUAUCUAGACGAUAUCCUGAUCUAAUCUAAGAACGUCGAAGAACAUGAAAUACAUGUUCGUCAAGUAUUACAAAAACUUAGAGAUGCAGGAUUAUACGCCAAGAUGGAAAAGUGUGUAUUUCACACUACUCAAGUUGACUUUUUAGGAUACAUCAUUUCAAAUGAUGGUCUCAUGAUGGAUUCUAAGAAAGUCCAAACAAUCAUGGAUUGGAAGAUUCCAAGGACAGUAAGAGAUGUCCAAUGUUUCUUGGGAUUUGUCAAUUACUAUCGGAUCUUCAUCAAAGAUUUCUCACAAGUUGCAGCUCUACUUACACGCUUGACUAGUAAAGAUAAAUUCCAAUGGAAUCAAGAAGCGGAAGCAGCAUUUGAAGCCUUAAAGACAUCGUUUGUCUCUGCACCAGUCUUAUAUCGUGUUGACUUUUCCAAGGCAUUUUUUAUGGAAACAGAUGCAUCAGAUUUUGCCUUGGGUGCAGUUUUAUCACAAAUGGGAUUAGAUGACAAACUUCAUCCGAUAGCUUUUCAUUCAAGAAAAUUCUCAGCAGCCGAGAUCAAUUAUGAGAUCCACGAUAAAGAACUUCUUGCGAUCGUGGAUUCUUUUCAAGAAUGGCGUCAUUAUCUAGAAGGCGCUUCUAGUCUAGUCAUUGUGUAUACAGAUCACAAAAACCUCGAGUAUUUCAUGUCAGCACGCGUAUUGAAUCGUCGUCAAGCUUGUUGGAGUAUGUCUUUGUCAAGAUUUGAGUUCAUUAUCACUUAUCGGCUAGGAAAACAACAAGGUUUGUCCGAUGCCCUAUCUAGACGUUCUUAUUUUGUACCAAAAGAAGGAGAUGCAGCUUUUGAGCAACAAAGAACGGUCCUCUUGAAACCGGAGCAAUUUCAUCUCCAAGCAAUGAAAUCAACAUUGACUGUUGAUUCAACUUUUCUCAAGCAAAUCCAGUCCAGUAUGUCCUCACACCUUCUUGUUCAUGAUAUCGAGAAUAAUUCUUCCAAGUCUCAUGAUCCUUCUAAGUUCGAGUUCAAGAAUAAUCUAUUAUAUUUUAAAGGAUGCCUAUAUGUUCCAGAAGGAGAAGCACGUUUACGUGUUCUUCAAGCACGUCAUGACUUUCCAACAGCAGGGCACUUUGGAUAUAAUAAGACUUUGGAACUCAUAUCAAGAGAUUUUUGGUGGCCACAAAUGUGAAAGUCAGUCAAAGACUUUAUACAAUCAUGUGAUAUUUGUUCAAGAUCAAAAAUUCCUCGUCAUCGACCUUACGGACUUCUUCAGCCAUUACCUAUACCAGAACAACGAUGGUCUUCUGUUUCUAUGGAUUUCAUCACAGAUCUUCCAAGCUCAAGAUCUUAUGAUUCUAUAUUUGUGAUAGUAGAUCGUUUCACCAAGAUGGCACAUUUUGUGCCAUGUACAAAAUCUAUCACAGGUGAAGAAAUAGCUAAGCUUUUCAUUGAUAAUAUCUAUCGCUAUUAUGGAUUACCUAAAGAUAUCAUAUCAGAUAGGGGAACUCAAUCUGUGUCAAGAUUUUGGAGGACCUUUUUCAAGAUUUUAAAAGUCAACAUAAAGCUAUCUUCGGCUUUCCAUCCUCAAACUGAUAGACAAACAGAGCGCGUAAACCAAGUCUUGGAGCAAUAUUUAAGGUGUACUAUCAACUACCAACAAGAUGAUUGGACAACCCUUCUGCCAUUGGCAAGGUUUGCUUAUAAUAAUACGGUACAUUCUUCCACGCAACAAACACCUUUCUUUGCCAAUUAUGGCUAUCAUCCACGACUCGAUACUUUUGAUUUUUCAAAAGUUGAUAAUCCUGCAGCAGAAGAUAUGGGAAAUCGGUUGUCAGAGUUACAUGCAAUAAUGAAGACGCAAUUGAAAGAAGCUCAAGAACGACAAAAGAUAAAUGCAGAUCUAUAUCGUAAGGAGCAACCACAACUCAACGUGGGUGAUAAGGUAUGGCUACUUCGUCGCAAUAUCAAGACUACUUGACCUUGUGACAAGUUGGACUAUCGUAGGCUUGGCCCCUUUUCUGUUUCUGAACAGAUCAACCUUGUUGCAUAUCGGUUACAUCUACCGGAGUCAAUGAAGAUCCAUCUUGUAUUCCACGUGUCUCUUCUUGAACCAUAUAAGACAGUGGAUAUACAAGGAAGAAGACAAAUGCCACCGCCUCCUAUAGAAGUAGAUAAUAAUGAAGAAUUUGAGGUGGAAGAGAUAUUAGACUCAAGGCGGCGCCAAAAUAAGCUGAAAUAUCUUGUUCAUUGGCGCGGAUAUGAUAUUAGUGAAUGCACAUAGGAGCCAUCUAGGAAUCUAGCAAAUGCAUCAGCUAAAGUUAAAGUUUUCCAUCAACGACAUCCAUCAAAACCAAGAUGAAAAUCUCUCUUAUAAAAGAGACAAGAUUGAGGCAAGAUAACAUUCAAUUUCCUAUCCUUGUUUGUAACUUCUUUGCAUUUGUGAUGCUAAUUAGAUGGAGAGCCAACAACCAGCGGAUUCAACUCAAGAACCUUCGUUUGCUGACCUGCUGGACGAGACAUUACGAUUGUCACAACCUUCAAGACGACGCAAUCGAGAUGAAGAUCUUCAAGAACGACAUGUUCUUCCUCGAAUAGAUUGUGAGAUACAACGCGUUUGGUAUCACGAUUUGGGAAGGCACUCCCGAUGUUUGGUGAUUUUGCUAGAGGUAGGAACAACUCCUGAUGGUGUUCCAAAUAUUCUAUUCGAAGGAAGUUAUGAAGGCCUCAACAAUGAUCAAAUAACUGGGUAGUCUUCCUGCCCUAGUAUGGGACACUACCGAUGGAUGAGAGGCCCUAUCAAUCAUCUUCGAAGAGAACAGAGAUCAGAGUAUGUGGCGAAUACAAUUCGUCGCAUCAUAGAUUUCCUCAACAUAUGAUGACUGCUCCUCGUGGAACUCGUCUCUAGAAGGGGGGGGUAAUGUCACGGCCAUAAUCAUGUAAGCUAAUAAUUACAUAUAGAAAUAUGUAGAAGUAAGUAAAAGUAGAUAAAAGUAAGUUAAUUCUAUAAUAUUUAAUAUAGAAGCUUCCUAGAAACUUCUUAGACGCUGCUUUGACUUCAUAGGUGUCUUUAAUUGACUUUUUGGAUUAGAAACGUGGUCAACAAGUUGGCCAUGUGCCACACAUGUUGUUAGCUUGAAGAUCAAGCUAACUAUGUGGCCCACACGUAGAAAAACUUGUCUUGUAAGUCAAGGCAUGUGUCCUACAAAGUCAACACAUAUUGGAGGUCCUAUAGAACGUCGCCACGUAGCCCCUAGUUAGAUAGUAUAUAUAGAGACAAGAGUGAAGCCUUCUUCACUCUUCUCAACUCCUUUCUUGCUUCUAGUCUAGUUUCAAGGGUCUCUAGUUUUCUUGUCUUUUGGCAAUAGCCAUUCCAGUUUCUCUUUCAAUAUAUAUAUUUGUUUAUUUACCUCUCUUUGAGUGAAGGCUCACUUGUCUGAAUUAUUUUUCAUCGAGUUCUUGUCCUUCACAGUAUAUUGAAAGAGAAACUAAAAUGGCUAUUACUAAAUGACAAGAAAACUACAGACCUUUGAAACUAGACUAGAAGCAAGAAAGGAGUUGAGAAGAGUGAAGAAGGCUUCACUCUUGUCUCUAUAUAUACUAUCUAACUAGGGGCUACAUGGCGACGUUCUAUAGGACCUCCAAUAUGUGUUGACUUUGUAGGACACAUGCCUUGGCUUACAAGGCAAGUUUUUCUACGUGUGGGUCACAUAAUUAGCUUGAUCUUCAAGCUAACAACAUGUAUGGCACGUGGCCAACUUGUUAACCACGUUUCUAAUCCAAAAAAUCAAUUAAAGAUACCUAUGAAGUCAAAGUUGCAUCUAUGAAGCUUCUAGGAAGCUUUCAUAUUAAAUACUAUAUAUUUAACUUACUUUUACCUAAUUUUACUUACUUCUAUCUAUUUGUAUAUGUAAUUACUAGCUUAUAUGAGUAUGUCUGUGAGUAUGUCCGUGAUAUUACCCCCCUUCUAGGGACGAGUUCCACGAAGAGCGGUCAUCAUAUGUUGAGGAAAUCUAUGAUGUGACGAAUUGUAUUCGCCACAUACUCUAAUCUUUGUUCUCUUUGAAGAUGAUUGAUAGGGCCUCUCAACCAUCGGUAGUGUCCCAUACCAGGGCGGGAAGACCACCCAGUUAUUUGAGCAUUAUUUAGGCCUUCAUAACUUCCUUCGAAUGAAACAUUUGGAACACCAUGAGGAGUUGUUUCUACCUCUAGUAAAAUCACCAAACAUCAGGAGUCCCUUCCCAAAUUGUGAUACCAAACGAGUUGUAUCUCACCAUCUAUUUUAGGAAGAACAUGUCGUUCUUGAAGAUCUUUAUCUCAAUUGCGUCAACUUGAAGGUUGUGACAAUCGUAAUGUCUCAUCCAGCAAGUCAGCAAAUGAAGACUCUUGAGUCGAAUCCACUGGUUGUUGGUUCUCCAUCUCUUGAACGUCACAACUAUAAAGAAGCUACGAACAAGGAUUGAAAGUAGAAUGUUAUCUUGCCUAGAUGUUGUUUCUUUUAUAAAAAAAAUUUUCAUCUUGAUUUUGAUGGAUGCCAUCGAAGAAAAGCCUCCACUGCCUUUGCUGCAUUUACAAGAUUCUUUAUUAGCUCUCAUGUGCAUUCACUAAUACCAUAUCCGUGCCAAUGGAUAAGAUAUUCUAAUUUAUUUCGAUGCCGCCUUGAAUCUAAGACUUCUUCUAUUUCAAACUCUUCAUUAUUGUCCACUUCUAUAGGAGGAGGUAGAGCUUGUCGUCUUCUUGGUAUGUCCACUAUCUUAUAUGGUUUAAGAAGAGACACAUGGAAUAUUGGAUGGAUUUUCAUUGACUCCGGUAGAUGUAAAUAUUAUGCAACUGGAUUGAUUUGUAUAGAAAUAGAAAGUGGUCCCAGCCUUCGAUAGUCCAACUUGUCACAAGGACGAGUGGUCUUGAUAUUGCAAUGAAUUAGCCAUACUUUAUCACCCAAGAGGAAUGGUGGUUGUUCCUUUUGAUAGACAUCCGCAUUGACCUUUUGUUGUUCUUGAGUCUCUUUUAACUACAGCUUCAUCGUUGCAUGUAGCUCUAAUAAAUGAAUCGCCAAAUCUUUCGCAGCACGAUUAUCAACUUUUGAAAAGUUAAAAGUAUCAAGUCGUGGAUGAUAACAAUAAUUAGCAAAGAAAGGUGUUUGUUUUGUAGAAGAAUGUACCGUGUUAUUAUAAGCAAACUCUGCCAAUGGCAAGAGAGUUGUCCAAUCAUCUUGUUGGUAGUUAAUGGUACAUCUUAAAUAUUACUCCAAAACUUGAUUAACAUACUGUCGUGUUGUGGUUCAGCUACUAUAUGAAAAUAAUGUAAUUAUGUACUUAAUAUAUAAUUUAUUAAGUAACAUGGUGAGAGCCAUGUUAGUAGAUUUUAGUUGGUUUUAGAAUAUAAUUUGAGUAUUAUUUUGAGAAGAGGUUGUUUAAAAAGAUUACUAUAGAAUUUGUAUAGCUUUAAUUUUCAAUUGAUAGUGGCUUUUAAGAUUGGUUUUGGUUGAUAGUAACUUCUAAAUAUUUAGAGUCACUUUUGUUAGACAUUGGUGACAUUUAAAAACUUAUUUUGGUUCUUUUAUUUGAUGUUUAGAGCAUAAAUUAUGUAAGUCUUAUAAAAAAAAAGAUUGAAGAAGGAUUUUGGUAGCAAAGGGAGUAAUUAGGGCACCAAUAUAGAUGAAUGGAGAUGAAAAAUAAAAAUCUCCAUUCCUUUUGAUCAAAAAUCAUGACCAAUGGGCUUUGAGUAGGCUGCCCGAGGCCAUAUUAGGAAUUAGGGUUAGUUUCUCGAGUCCAUUCGAACUCUGAAGGCUAAGGUCAAAAGGUUUAGGUAUUUGAUUAAGGUUUUGGUUCAAGUUUUGUGUCAUUUGGGGUUUUUAUGAAAAAAAUAUAGGCGCUCAAAGUUAAGAUGUUAGUUUUGGACCUACUAUCACUCUUUUGAGUAUAACGCACGCGAACGGAUGGCAAUUGAGGAUUGGCGACUGCGACUGGAGAGAGCACUUUUACGGCUAUAUUUUUUGCAUAUUGCUUACUAUAUUCUAAGUUGGAAUCAUGGAGUUAUUAGAUUUUGAAUUCAGCACAUGGAAUCUAAGGGUAGUAAGUAAACCGAUUUACUAGUGUUUGUCUCUUGAGCUAUAUCUUGAGCAAUUUCACAAGGUUUUGGCUCAAAAUUUCAAGGAAUGAGUAAUUUCAUGUUAGUAAACUUUGUGCAUAAUUUUUUUGAUAUUUGGAGUUCGGAUUUAUGAGAUAUAAGGAAAAUAGUUUUUCGGGUGCUUGUAAAUUAGGAUUUGGGGUGUCUGCUAGGGUUUCUUAGAUGCCAAAAGAUCGGGAGUGAAUUUACAGUUGGUUUUUUUGUGGUAAAAUUUAAGGAUAAAUUAAACCUAUCUCAUAAAUUUGAUUAAAAAAAAUGGUUAGAUCAAUAGUUAUGAUUUUCUAAAGUUUGGGGGCAAAAAAAUCCUUCGCAAGAAAAAUAUGUUUUUAAGGGAUUUUGUUAUAUUUGGGAUUUUAUACAAAAAUAAAGGAGUUAUAGAAGCUAAGAAAAGAAUCAUAUAAAGGUUUAAGGUACACUCUCUAGAGCUAGAUACCAAGUGUAUUCCCAGAUAGCAAAUCACGCCAUACGACAACGCUCCGUUCGUCCAUCAGUUUGUGGAUGGAAUGUCGAAGAUAGUUUUAUAUCUACUUUUAGAAUCUUGAAAAGAGUCCGCCAAAAUCUUGAUACAAAUUAAGUUCCCCGAUCUGAUAUAAUAUCAUUGGAUAAUCCAUAAUAGCGAUAGAUAUUGUCAAAAAAGAGCUUAGCUGUUUCUUCACCUGUGAUAGAUUUUGUACAUCGUACAAAAUGUGCCAUCUUGGUAAAACGAUCUACUUUCACAAAUAUAGAAUCAUAUGAACCUGAGAUUCGAAGAUCUGUGAUGAAGUCCAUAGAAACAGAAGACCAUGGAUGUUGUGGAAUGGAUAAUAGCUGAAGAAGUCCAAAAGGUCGAUGACGAGGAGUUUUUGAUCUUAAGCAAACAUCACAUGAUUGUACAAAAUCUUUCACUGCCUUUCACAUUUGAGACCACAAAAAAUCCCAAGAUAUCAGCUCUAAAGUCUUAUUAUAUCCAAAAUGUCCUGCUGCUGGGAAGUCGUGACGAGCUUGAAGAACACAUAAACGUGCUUCUCCUUCUGAAACAUAUAGGCAGCCUUCGAAAUAGAGUAGGUUGUUCUUGAAUUCAAAUUUAGAGGGAUCAUGAGAUUUAGAAGAAUUAUUCUUGAUAUCAUGAAUAAGAGGGUCUGAAGACAUACUUAACUAGACUUGCUUAAGAAAAGUUAAAUCAAUAGUCAAUAUUGAUUUUAUUGCUCGAAGAUGAAAUUGCUCCGGCUUCAAGAGAACCAUUUUUUGUUACUCAAAAGUUGCAUCUCCUUCUUUUGUUGCAAGAUAAGAACAUCUAGACAAGGCAUAGGACAAACCUUGUUGUUUUCUUCGUCGAUAAAUGAUGAUGAAUUCGAAUCUUGAUAAAGACAUGUUCCAAUGAGCUUGACGAUGAUUUAAUAUGCGUGCUGACAUAAAAUAUUCGAGGUUCUUGUGAUCCGUAUAGACGGUCUCUAUUGGAAGCGACUUCUAGAUAAUGAUGCCAUUCUUGAAAAGAAUCCACAAUUGCAAGAAGUUCUUUGUCGUAGAUCUCAUAAUUGAUUUCUGCUACUGAGAAUUUUCUUAAAUGAAAGGCUACUAGAUGAAGUUUAUCAUCUAUUCCCAUUUGUAAUAAAACCGCACUCAGAGCAAAGUCUGAUGCAUCUGUUUCCAUAAAGAAUGCUUUGGAAAAAUCAACAUGAUACAAGAUUGGUGCAGAAACAAAUGAUGUCUUCAAAGAUUCAAAAGCAACUUCCACUUCUUGAUUCCAUUGGAGUUUGACUUUACAAGUCAAACGUGUAAGUGGAGCUGCAACUCGAGAGAAGUCCUUGAUAAAGAUUCGAUAGUAGUUGGCAAAUCCCAAAAAACAUUGGACAUCUCUUACCGUUUUUGGGAUCUUCCAAUCUAUAAUAGUUUGAACUUUCUUAGGAUCCAUCAUAAGUCCAUCAUUUGAAAUGAUGUAAUCUAAAAAAUUGACUUAAGUAGUAUGGAAUACACACUUUUCUAUCUUGGCAUAUAGUCCUACAUCUCUUAAUUUUUGUAACACACGACGAACAUGAAGUUGAUGUUCUUCUGAAUUCUUAGAAUAGAUCAAGAUGUCGUCUAGGUAACAGAUGACAAAAUCGUCCAAAAACUCUCAAAAAACAUCAUUCAUUAGAUGUUGAAAAGCUGCUGGUGCAUUUGUAAGUCCAAAAGGUAUGACGCUGUAUUCAAAAUAUCCAUACCUAGUUCAAAAUGCAGUCUUUCAUUCAUCUCCUUCUUUGAUGCAUACUAGAUUGUAUGCUCCCCGAAGAUCUAUUUUUGUAUAGAUCUUAGCUUAAUUCAGUUGAUGAAGAAGUCUAUAUAUUAAAGGUAGUGGAUACUUAUUUUUGAUAGUAAUCUUGUUUAGUCCUUGAUAAUCAACAUACAUCCGCAAUGAUCCAUCUUUUUUCUUCACAAAUAGAAUUGGAGCUCUUGCCGGAGAUUUAGAAUGGCGUAUGAAAUUCUUGGCUAGAUUUUCUUCAACAUACUCCUUGAGUUUAGUCAACUCAUUUUGUGAUAAACUGUAGAUUGGUUCGAAUGGCGGUUGUGCUCCUUCUUGAAGGUCAAUUGAGCAACCAUAGGGAUGAUGUUUUGGAAGUGUAUCCACAUUCUUUUUUUUGAAUACAUCUUGAAAUUCUUGAUAUUGGCUUGGAAUGCCACUUGAAGUCUUUUCACCAGUAAAAACAAGUGUGGCAUAAAUAUUAUAUGGUGAUUCUUUCAUAGCAGCAUGCAAGAAAGCUUUUGCACCUAUCAAUACGAGUUUAAUUGAAUUGGACUUAUGACUCUCUACUUGAUUAAUUACACUGUUAGUUAUACUUUUAGAGAAAGUAAGAGUUCGGGAAAUCCAAUCUAUUUGAGGGUUGUAUUUUUUUAACCACGAUAAACCUAAAAUGACUGGAUUAGAUAGAGAUCUAAUGAUAUUAAAUACUACAAAACUAUUAUGACCAUUGAUUAUUACUUCUAUAGGAAGGAUUUUAUGAAUAAUAUCUCCAGAAGACAAUGGACGGCCAUCUAUGACUUCUACAUGAACAGGUUUAGUUUUCUUUACUAAAGAUAUGCUACGUCUUUUAGUAAAUUCUUCAUCUAAAAAACACGCUGAGGCUCCUAAAUCUAACAAGGCAGAGACUUUAUAAUGUUUAGGUCCUAAAAUAACAUUUAAUGUAAAACAAGGAGAGGGCUCUAACGAGAGAAUAGGACCUUUACUAGAUGUUGUGCAAGGUUCCAGCCACACGGUCCAUAUUAUAGCUGGACAAACUCGUUUUCUGACAUAUUGUCUUCUUUCACAGCCAUACUCCUCAUUUUGUAAUUAUGUCGUUUCUUUAGAUAAUGUUGAGCAGUGUGCUUUGGUUGUCUAGAAUAUAAUUAUAAUCCUUCUUGACGACGACAAGUCUUUUCUUGUUCAGUAAGAGGUUUGAAACGUACUGCAUCAAUUUGCAUAUCCUCUACUUUCGAAUGUAUGUUUUGAAGAGGUGUUGGUGUUGCCAUUGAAUUAUAGUAACGUCAAGGUUGGUUUUCAGAUCGGAAUUCAAAAAGGUGAUUGUCGCACUUCACAGCGAAGUCAAUUGCUUGACUCAAAGUUUGAGGAUCAGGUAAGUUGAGCAUUAAUUUUUUUACCUCAUAUUGUAAUCCGUAGAGAAAUUGGCUAAUAAGUGCAGCAUCAUCCCACUUGAUAUCAGUUGCAAGUUGUCAAAAUUAUGAAGCGUAUAAUGUUACUGAUCGAUUGCCUUGUCGUAAAAUAUAGAUCUUAUUGGUUGCAACAUGAAUUGCAUCAUAUUCUCUAUACAUGGAUCGAAACUCCGCCAGAAAAGCCUCUAGAUUAUUCAAUAUUGGAUCUCGUCAUUCAAGAAAAGAUGAAAACCAUGAUAGUGCUGAACCUGAAAGAAGCGUACCAAUGAAUCUAACUUGCGAUCUUGGAGUUGGAUAGCUUUGGGGUUGAAGUUCAAUCACAAGUUGCACUUGAUUGAUAAAUCCUCGAAACUUGGAUUUGAUGCCAACAAACUUCUCGGGUAGGGCAAUUCUUGGUUCUCUAAUAUUUGAAGGACGUUCCACCAAAGGAGAAAAGACAUGGUUUGGUGCAGAUGUUGAAGCAGCUCCAAUCAUUUCUAUAUCUUCACUUCCUGCCAAUCUUGUUGCCUCUUGUGGUGGUAAAUUGAGUUGAUGCAUCGUAAGCAUUAACUCCUUCAAUUGCUCUUGCAUUUGUGCCAUUGCAUUCUUCAUUUCAACAAGUUCUGUCAUGAUAAUACUUAGAAGAGAGAAGAUGUCUAAUAUCACUCAAGACAAAUAGAAGUCAGGACUUGGGAACAAAGAAAAUACUAAGGACAAUAUCAGUUUAGAAGAGGGUAAUCCGUAACUUCUAAUAUGCUUAUAUCUUAUUAAGAAAAUGGGGUAAUCCACUCUUAAUCAAGAUUAGACAAAGCUCUGAUAUUGUAGGGGCACUCUUGUCAAUCUGUCAAGGACAAGAACUCGAUGAAAAAUCAAUUCAAAUAAGUGAGCCUUCACUCAAAGAAAAGUAACAAAAUAUAAAUAAAUAAGUAUGUAUAUUGAAAGAGGAUCUAAAAUGGCUAUUGCCAAAAGACAAGAAAAUUAGAGACCCUUGAAACUAGACUGGAAGCAAGAAAGGAGUUGAGAAGAGUGAAGAAGGCUUCACUCUUGUCUCUAUAUAUACUAUCUAACUAGGAGAUAGGUGGCGACGUUCUAUAGGACCUCCAAUAUGUGUUGACUUUGUAGGACACAUGCCUUGACUUAUAAGGCAAGUUUUUCUAUGUGUAGGCCACAUAGUUAGCUUGAUCUUCAAGCUAACAACAUGUGUGGUGUGUAGCCAACUUGUUAACCACGUUUCUAAUCCAAAAAGUCAAUUAAAGAUACCUAUGAAGUCAAAGUAGCAUCUAUGAAGCUUCUAGAAUGCUUCCAUAUUAAAUACUAUAUAAUUAACUUACUUUUACCAACUUUUACUUACUUCUACUUAUUUCUAUAUGUAAUUACUAGCUUACAUGAGUAUGUCCGUGAGUAUGCCUGUGACACUUAUCCAAUAGCAUGGAUAUGAUAUUAGUGAAUACACAUGGGAGCCAAUAAACAAUCUUGUAGAUGCAGUAAAGAUAAUGGAGGCUUUUUAUUGAUGACAUCCAUCAAAAUCAAGAUAAAAAUGUUUCGUCUAAAAAAAAUAAGAUCUUGGUAAGAUAACAUUUUACUUUCAAUCCUUGUUUAUAGCUUCUUUGUAGUCGUGACGCUAAGGAGAUGGAGAAUCAACAACUAGUGGAUUCGACUGAAGAGCCUUCAUUUGUUGACCUGUAAGAUGAGACAUUAUAAUUAUCACAACCUUCAAGACGAUGCAAUCUAGAUGAAGAUCCUCAAGAACUAUAUGUUUUUCCUCAAAUAAAUGGCAAGAUACUAUGCAUUUGAUAUCACGACCUUAGAAGAGACUCCUGAUGUUUGAUAAUUUUAUUAAAGGUAGGAACUACUCCUUGUGGUAUUCCAAAUAUUUUAUUUGAAGUUAUGAAGGCCUUAACAAUGAUCAAAUAAUAGGGUUGUCUUCCCGCCUUGGUAUGUGAUACUAUCGAUGGUUGAGAGGCCCUAUGAACUAUCUUUGAAGAGAACAAAGAUCUGAGUAGGUGGCAAAUAUAAUUUGUUAUAUCAUAGAUUUUUUCAACAUAUAAUAUUCGCUCUUUGUGGAACUCAUUUCUAGAAGGGGAGGGAAGAAUAAUGUCACAGACAUAUACAUGUAAGAUAAUAAUUACCUAUAAAAGUAGAUAGAAGUAAGUAGAAUUAGUUGAAAAUAAAUUAGUUCUAUAAAUUCUUCUAUAAAAGCUUCCUAAAAGCUUUAUAGAUACUACUUUGAUUUUAUAGGUGUCUAUAAUUGAUUUUUUGGAUUAAAAAAGUGGUCAACCAGUUGGCCAUGUGCCACACAUGUUAUUAGCUUGAAGACCAAACUAACUAUGUGGCCCACAUGUAGAAAAACUUGACUUGUCAGUUAAGGCAAGUGUCCUACAAAGUAAACAAAUAUUGGAGGUCCUAUAGAACAUCACCACAUAGCCCCUAGUUAGAUAGUAUAUAUAGAGACAAAAGUGAAGCCUUCUUCACUCUUGUUAACUCUUUUCUUGCUUCUAGUCUAGUUUCAAGAGUCUUAAGUUUUCUUAUCUUUUGGCAAUAAGCCAUUCUAAUUUCUUUUUAAUAUACGUACUUCUUUAUUUCUAUUUUGUUAUUCUUUCUUUGACUUGGAUUUCAUCGAUUUAUGCAUCAUCUUUUAGUUCAUGUCAUUGAUAACUUCUUAUAUCAAGAACAAAUCCAAUCUCUUGAUGGAAGAGUCGAAAGAGGUAGUGUCAAAGAUGCCAUAUGCUACCCACUUUAGCAUUGAUCACAUAAAAGCAUGUUAGUAGUCCCUUUUUUUUCACUACAUAUAAAACAAAGAAGACCAAUUGGCACAACUGUCAAUUAUGGAUGUAUAGAGUUAUCAAUAGGCAGAUGACAAGGAGAACAAUUUUUUGAAUGCUUCCAACUCUCUUGUCCAUCCUUGUCUUCUUACAAAAAAAAUAUCAUCAAGUAGGACAUCUUUUACAUGUAGAAUUAUAAGCCUUGCUUUAAUACUAAGUGUUGUGGGUACUUCAUGUUGAAAGUAUACAUAAUCUCCUUUAGAAAAUCUUUGCAACUUGGAUCAAUAAGUUCUACUGCAAAUGUGACCAUAUUACAAAUUGUCACAAUAUUGAACAAAAGAUAAAUUUUCUAUAGCAAAAGAUAUGGCCUAUUUAAAGAACUUUGCUUGUUCAUGUAGACAUUGAGCCAAAACAUUAGAAUCAUUUAGGUCUAUAAUUGUGGCAUACUUUUCAUGUAUUGAAUUAAAUAGAAUUGGCUCCCAUCCAUACAACAAUUGAUAAGGACUAUAAGAUGCAAAAGAUGCUUGUCUAUUGAAGCAAUAAGCCAUUGCAAUCUAUGGCAACAUCAAGUUUCAAUUACGAUAGUUGCUAUAAAAUAAUUCAUACUUUUGUAAUCCACAUUUGAUAAUGUGAAUAAUCCGUUUAGCUAGGCCAUCUGACUCAAGAUGAUUUCUAGGUGUGAUACAAUGAUCUAUCAAAGCUUUAGUACUUAAAGCUUCAAAACUUCCAAAAAACUCUCUUCCUUGAUUUAUUAAGACUUCAACAGGCAAUUUAUUAAGACUUCAACAGGCAACUUAUUGAAGAGAAUGAAAACAAUCAACCACUUGAAGUAGCAUUGCCAUCUUUAGAAAUCAACAACAUCAACUCUGGAUGGUUUCUUGAUAGUGGUGCCACUAAGCACGUUACUAGGAACCACCAUCAGCUUCACAACAUAGAAUCUUAUAGCUGUAACAUCAAAACAACUAGGCAAAGUCACCACAUUAUUGGAAAAAGCAAUGUGAAAUUCAAUCUUCCAUCUGAUGCAAUAAAAGAGAAACCAAAUAAUUUUUUACAUUUGUGGAUUGAAGAAAAUUUUGUUAUCCAUAAGCUCAUUCAUGGAUAACAGGAUCAUUGCAUGCUUUAAUGUUAAAAAAUGUGUGUUAUACAGCAAAGGGCACAACAAGGUCAUAUCCGAAGGAAUUCAAAACAACAUCAACAAGCUAUAUCAGCUUACAUCACACCACAAAUCCACCUCCGUAAACCUUGCACAAACCGAUCUCUACAAGGUAAAAUUGUGGCAUUACAGACUAUGUCACAUUAAUUACUCUCGAUUACAUGAUCUAGCUGCACACAAUAUGGCCACAAAUAUCCCUUAUUUAGUAGUUCACCAACAGAUUUGCAACCACUACAAGCAAGGCAAACAAUCACAGAUGAGUCUCCCUUAGAAAAGUGAAACAUGAUCUUGAAAAAUAUUGGAACUGAUCAACAUUGACAUUUGCGGGUCAUUCCCAACAACGUCUCUUGGGGGCUUGAACUACGUACUGUUCAUAGUAGAUGACUGUAGCCGUUUUAUUUAGGUGUAUUUUCUACAUCAGAAAUUGCAAGCCUUCACAAAGUUUAGAGAUUUCAAGAAUAUGAUUGAAUUAGAAUUGAAAACAAAAAUCCAGUCCGUGCGAAGUGACCGCAGAGGGGAGUUUUUGUUGGAUGAGUUUAACUCACUAUGCCGAGACAAUGGGAUAAGACGGUAGCUCACUAACGCAUCCGCUUUAGAACAAAACGGUAUUGUGGAACGAGCUAAUCAAAAAAUUCUUGACAUGGCCCACACCAUGAUUAUUCAUGCUAGAAUGACGAACUUCUUAUGGAUAGAGGCCAUAAAUAUUAUUGCCUUCUCACCAGAUCCAAUGCGAAGUCAAUCCCUUCUAAAGGUAACACCGUAUCAGAUACUAUUUAACAAACGCCCUAAUUUAUUAUACUUCCGUGUUUUUCGAUCCAUGCCCUAUACAUGGAUUAAGAAAGAUCAGCGUGAUAAAUUCCAAUCUCGCACAAAGACCGGCUUUUUUGUCGGAUACGAUCACAAGAGUAAAGGUUUUUGAAUCUGGCUUCGGGCCGAUCACAAACUUAUGAUAUCCUGUAACGUGCGCUUUGACAAAACGAGCAUUCUAAAUGGAGAAUUAAUGACAAACUGAAACCAACUUCAGAGCCAAGAUAGCGACAACGUAAUUGGCAGGGCCGCUGCAGCCACACCAAUACAAAUCAAAGCCAAACACUACACUUCGUCACCUGCACCUAACCACAGCAGCAACACAAACAGAGAUUUGGACGUCAAGGAACCAAAUAACAUUGUCGAUCAGAUUCCCGCGACAACCUUUCGUGACAACGCCUUUGGAUCUUUGGCCAUGCCAGCAUGUACAUCAAAUGCAAUAGACUCAUCAUCCGAACACAAUAUCAUACGUCGACAUUCCACCCUGACUAAAGAAUCCUCCUCCAGAUUAAAGAAUAGUAUCAUGCUCUCGUGCGACAGCAAUCAGAAACUACCAAAAUUAUUGGCACCAUCUCCAUUUGAUUCAGACACACCCCAUCUAUAUAUAGAGUACGAUUGCUUCUUUGGAAUUACUAAAGAAUCUUCAGAUCGAAUACACUUCAAAGAAGUCGACGUUGACCUUAACUGGAAGGAGGCGAUCGAACAGGAGCGCAACUCUAUCAUCCGAAAUAACACUUGGAAAAUCUGCAACCUCCCACCAGGUGCAUCAAUUGUCACAGCAAUAUAGACCUUUAAGGCCAAAAGUGGAGCCAAUGGAAAACCUACCAAACGAAAGGCGCGGCUAGUUGCAUGCGACUUCCAACAUAUCUAUGGAAUGGGUUACGAUGAAGUCUUCGCUCUGGUUGCGAAGUGAAAAGUAGUGCGCUCCAUCGUAGCCCUCGUAGCCAGUAACAUAUCCAUCUCGAUGUGAGAUUGGCAUUUUUAAAUGGUGAUCUAAUAGAAACGGUAUGUAUGCUCAUCCUUGACGGGUUGCGCAACGCCACCAAUUCCACCAAGGUAAGUCGAUUACACAAGUCACUCUACAGCUUAAAGCAGACACCGCGCGCAUGGUUCGAGAAGAUAAAUGAUUUUCUAGACACAUACAAUUUCGGUAGAACCAAAGCAGAUUAUAGUCUUUAUUUACUCCGAGACAACAAGGGCAUCACCAUCCUAAUAUUGUACGUUAACGAUCUCUUGAUCACCGGUUCCAGCAACAAUAAAAUCACUUGGAUUAAGAACCAGCUUGUGAGGUGUUUGAAAUGUCCAAUCUCGGCCACAUAAAUUUCUACUUGGGUAUAGAAUUUAUUUGCAGCCCUGAUGGAAUCCUACACUCACAGAGAGCCUGCGCCACUUAGAUAUUAAAAGAAUUCGGCAUGGAAGUUUGCACUCCAUCCUCCACACCCAUGACAGAAGGGUUCAAUCUAGAUAGAGAGGAUGAUUCACCACAAGUUGAUGCAAAGCGCUUCCAAAAGCUCGUGGGGAUGUUCAUACACUUGGUAAACACAAAACCAAAAAUCUCUUUCACCACGGGAGUACUCAUCAGAUUCAUGCAUGAUCAUCGAGUUUCGCAUCGACAAGCUGCAAACCAAGUCCUCUGAUACAUAAAAGAUACACUAGAACUUGGAAUUUUCUAUGAACAACGCCACAACUCAACAAUUCUAGGUUUUACAAAUUCUGACUGGGCGAACUGUAAGGUUGACAAAAAAUCAAUCACUGGCUGGGUAUUCAAAUCAGCAGGGGGGCGGAUCUCGUGGGCAUCUAAAAAGCAACACAACGUCACAAUAUCAUUAACAAAUGCUGAGGUAAGAGCAUUAGCAGAAGGAAUUUGUUAAGCCAUCUAGCUUCAAACUCUAGCAUCUAGAAUUCAUGGAACGAAUCAGGAACCCAUCUCCAUCUUCUGCAACAAUUGAAGCACACUCAAAUCUGCCCGCAAUCCGGUGUGUCACAACAAAUCCAAACACAUGGAGAUGUGGUUACAUUAUAUAUGGGAAAUUGUACUCACUGGAAUAGUAGACAUCUUCUACAUAUCAAUCCAUGAGCAGAUUGCAGAUAUCUUUACCAAAGCCACAGGAAGGAAUAGAUUUGUGAAACUUAGAAGUGAAAUGGGAAUGAGAAACUUAACUUUAUCAUCAAAAUCCUAAAUAGAACACAACCUAUCAGAAACCCUAGAAAAACUAGUUUCCAAUUACAAGACGUUUCGCUUCCUCCAUUGUUCUAAAACUCUUGUAGAUUGCACCUCAAAAUCUAGUCACCUGCCUCUUGCAAUCCGACCACCUGUAGUACACUCCAAGACAACAUCCAUGGCAAACAGCGUAGAAACGUGAUCAACAACCAGGAGCAUCAGGCUCGUCUCUCAAAGAAACUGACUCCUCAGAUCAAAUCACAUCGAAACCCUCACUGUUUACUGGAAGCCACAACAAAAAAAGGAGAUUAUCUGGACACCAGCCAAAAAUUUGAUGAAGUGCCGCCAAAAGAAACCAGAAGCUUAAUACAAGCAUCUGAAUUUGCAAAGAUAUUGACUGAUGCUUACAAUCUCUUCCAAUUAAGGUAAAACACUUAAAAUGUCUUGCACUUUCUCAUUCUAAAACCACAAAGAUAGAAACACAAGCAAAAAAGCCUAAGCAUCGCAACAACUAAAAUCCACUUGACUACCCAUUUUCCUUCAACUUAUGAAACUUGUAACACCCCGAUCGCGCUGUCGCAUUGCAAUAAAACUUAUCCAAGACUCUAAGUGCGGGGGGUGUUGGAGACAUCCACUUCGAGUCUCCUAGACUCUGUCAAGAUAGGAACGUAGACGAAUAGCAUCCAUCCACUACUCAAAGCUUGUAAAUGUACCAGUCCCUUACCCUUCAAUAAAACAGUGUUGCCAUUUCUUUAGUAUCGUUGCAUAUGCAUGUAUUAGGAUCAGUGAGUAACGUUCAGGACCCAUAUUAGUGUCGCAGUUUAUUCUCACAUCAGACAGACGCAACUGGGUAAAUGCAGAUGCCAGCAUUGGUGAAGAGGAUUGGGUUGUAGUAUCACUGGUGAUGUGCAACGAAUCAGCAUUGUCCGAUUGUAAAUUUCAUUGUGCGAAUUUCAUCACUUUGUUAUCCUUCAUCGACAAGUUGCACCCCAAAAUUCUUGUAAGAUGAUGUGGAGCGAGUCACAAUGUCUUCGGAUGCAAAUGACAGUCUUUCAGAAUUAGCGUGUGAGCAGUUUACAAGUGAAGUUAGUGUGUCGAUUAGUUAACCAUGAGAGAGUACCUUGUCUUGCUCUUGCUAAGUGCCAUGUGUUUGACCAUGGAGGAUGCAGGAUCAGUCCUACCACAGCGCUGCCAAUUCUGAAUCUGAUGUUUGCAUUGUGUAUCCGUUGGAUGACAGUAUCAAUCUCGUCGUUAUACGUCAUUCGAAAACUACACGCCAUCGAAUUUACAAAACAUCGGCAUUUUAGGAUGGGUGCUUUAAUAUGCGACAGUGGCAGUUAUCGUCUUUGGAGUCAUUAGUUUUUCUAUCCAAUCGGGCAACAUCUAUCUACCCUUGGUCGCGAUGGUACAUGAAGUAAGUUCCUUGCAGCAUUGUUUUGGAUCCAGCUGACGUAUCUUUGUCUUUUCAUCCUCACCACCUCCAUUGCCGGGACUUUUUUUUAUUUCAUAAAAUUAUAAUUUUACCUCUGUCAGGCCGUCAUAGAUAGCACAAAUGAGAGUAUCCUGUUUGUUUCACAAUUCUUGUUGAAUCUAGUCAUACUAAUUGUAGAACUUGGUUGUGUAUGUCCAUGUUCUUGGGCAGCUUUUGCUUAUUGUUGGACGAAGAAUGUGUGCGUGUCGCAAAUUGAAAGAAAAGCAGGGUUUUAAUCCCAUCUUGCCUACGACAUUUCUACACAACACUUUGGCAUCUACUGGGAUUUUCUGAACCACAACUCUUUUGAUUUUCUGUCUUUGGAUCAUCUCUCCUCUGGGACCUUUGCUGGGCCACUCACUUGUCAAGAUUCUGAAACACUAUUUUGUAAUGUAACGCACUCUUGGUAGCUGCAGAGUCAAGUGCAUUCAUCACGCAACAAUAUCAACAAACCUCCAGCUUCUGUAGCAGUGUCUUCAACAUUCGAUUCCCUAUAAUUCCUGAAAUCUCAUUGAAUCGCCCGCUGUUGUCAACAUCCAAGAAUCACUUACACUCCAAAAAAGAAUCCAGAAGUUCGAAAAAUUAAAACAGACAGAAAGGUCUGUUGGCACCCUUUUGCGUGAUACCUUGAUGCUGCUAGGAAGAUUCCUUUGAAUAGGCGAUGCGCGUUAAUCGCAACAACAAAUGUAGGCCUCUCCUGAACACUACUUUAAGACGAUUACAUGUGAUGAAUGUCCUGAAGAAUGCGGAUCCAAUCACAAUGCAGUGAGCACCCAUCGUUCACAAUACUUUUAGAUCAUUGUCAGUCUUCUGGACACUUCGCAAAUUUCGAAUUCUGAUUGGACAUCUCCACCAAACACACAACACACACUGCUACUACUAUUGCGAAGGGUUCUGAAGCAGAAGAACCUCUGAAAACGAAACCAGAAGAGGGAGGGAAUCAUUCAACCCAACGUGAAAUCUUCCCAUUCACAAAAAAUUACGAGUAUUGUGACACCUGGGGGUUAUUAAGAGCCAAGCGCAGGAGGGCAAUCCGGCUGCCCUCAGCUGGGUUGGGUUCGGGCAGCGCACAACCGGAUAAGCCCGUACCGGGCAGGUCCCCUGGUAAGUGUCAUCGGCAAGGAAUCUCUCAUCACCACUACGUCGAGGAGGCAUUCUCUUUCUCUCGUCCCCUCGGAGCUCUCACCCUGCGAGGAGCCCCUUGAAUUGCCUGCCAUCCCGUGCUUCACCGUGCCGACCAAGCCCUCCCCUCAUCUCAUACUCUGGAUGGUAAGCUCCAGGAGCAUUGAAUCUCAUUUCAAUCACUUGCAUCCCCCCCCCCCCCCGCCCUUUGGAGACUCUCUUCUGUGAGGUUACGAGGUCUCUUGGAAGGGGGUACCGUUUCGGAGUAUCCUCUCGCCGCAGUUAUUUUCUUUCGGUAGAUUUUGUUUGCGACUGUCUAGUGUUGUUCACUUGAGAAGAUUGUUCGAAUGAUUGUGUGUAUGGAAGAGGUUGUUUGGGGGUUUUGUGUCGAGGGAUUUGAAGGGUUUAGUGUGGGUCGACAUUCCAUUUUUGGAUGAGGGUAAUAGUGUGGUUUAAACUUUGCUGUGGAUAUUUUUGGGUGUUGUCAGUGUGGGUGGUUUGGAACCCUUAGGGUGCAGUUUUAGGGUGGGGUUUUGGAGGGUUUAGAAGGUGAUAAGGCCCUUAGAGUGCGCACAAUUUGGUUGAACGAACGUGAUGUCAUUUGGGUUUGUGUGAGAUUUCUUGUUUUCUUUUGGUUUCAUUCCCCGUAGAGAUGGGUCUCUGUUGGGGAUCUGAGGGAGCGUAUAGGGUUUGUUGUGAGUUCGUAGCUGCUUCACAUGCUCAAUUCUCUAUUUAGGUUUAUUUUGAAGGUAAUAACUAUCGUUUGCUUGUAUGGUUUUCAGAGUUGUUGGCGAGCUUGGCUAAGAACUUGGAUAAUGCUGCAAUGUGUGUUACAGAAUGAAGGAUUGGUGUUUACUUGCUUAUUAAAAUAAAAUUACUUCUCAGUUGGGUCAUAAUGAUUUUCUGUGUUGCUUUACUUAUUGAGAAGCAGCAGAUUGGGUGGUGAUUGUAGGGGGUGAGCAGUUAGAAGAAGAGAAGCAUUUUAAUACCUAUAUGUGGGUGAUGGUUUGUGCUGCCUCGGGAAUGACACACUGACACCACGGUGGCAAGUUGAGGUUUUGGUGAAGCUCUUGAAAUCAUGGAGACUCUUCGCAAUGUGAGCAGCACGGAGAAGAGUAAGGAGAGCUCUGAGGCUGUGAGAGGUGCUAGUGAAACCUCUUCCAUUCCUGAACGGAAUAGUGGUGGUGGACCUGAUGUUGAGGAAAGUGGAGGGAGGAUCAAUUCUUACGCGGGGCCUAGUCCUCCUAGAGCACCCGUCACUGAUGACACGGAAGAUGAAGUAGAGGAAGUUGAUGAAACCGAAGAUGAUGACAACGACGAUAGUGCUGUUGAGAAUACCUCUAGCCUUGUGGAUUCUGCGGCCAGCCGGCCUUUGGGUUCUUAUGCAGAUGCUCUGACGUCGAUGCCUGUCGCCAAGGUAACUACCGAGGAUGAAGAGCAAGACGAUGACGACGACGAUGCCGAUAAAGCUGAUGGUAAAUGGAAUUGCGCAUUUUAUUGCUUGUUUUUCCUUCUGCAGCAUUUGUAGACAUUGUGGUAAGAGGUAGGAACUAUUUUGUGCUGCUGGCUGAUACUUCGUCGUUUUGAAAACGUGUUAGAAGAGGAAGUCGACGAUGAAGAAUAUGAAGAAGCAGAUGACCAAGCUUCGGUUGAGGAUUUGUACGGGAACUCCUCCGCAUUGAGUAGAGGCAGUGAAGGUAGCUUGCCACGGAGUAUACCACGAAUCAUCGCGCGGGAGUCUGGUGAUGAUAUUUCUGAAGAACCUUCAGAGGACGAAUAUAACGAUAUUUCAGAGGAGGAAUAUAAUGAAGAAGCUGUGGAGGAAGCUGUAGAGCCUGAAGAGAAAGAGCAGGUUACCAUGGAGGUAGAAGAGAAAGAACAAUUCGAGUCUCCAGUUGCUGCGGAGGAGUCCACCGUGAAAGAGUUGAAUGCCACACCUGCAGUAGUGCCCCCUGCAGAUGCUGAUGUUGGCGAUGUCUCGAGGACAGAUAACUCGAAUGCAGAGGAGAGUCCUAUGAAUGCAGAUGCUGAUGUUGGUGAUGUUUUGAAGAAAGAGAACUCGAAUGCAGAGGAGAGCCCUAUGAAUUCAGAUGCGUGUCGUGAAGAAGACAUUGUUGCGGAGAAAGUCGAGAAAGAGUUGUCUCAAGCAGUAAUGACUGAGGAUUCGCAGGAAGUAGGAUCUGCACAGUCGCAGGAGGAAGUUACCGAACUGAUGCAGGCAGUGUCAUCUCUUGCCGCUGAAUCCGAAUCUACUGACCAGGGAGUGAAGCAAGAAGUCGCCCCUGAGGUUGUUCCUCUUGCAACUUCAGAAAUAAAGCAGGGUGAGUUGGAGGAGAUUGAGCAAGCAACCACCCUACCGAAGACCGACGUGGAGACCAGAGGAUGCUCAUUGGAUUUAGCCGAGGAGUUGCAGAAGCUAUCUGUGUCACGUUCACUGAGCAACGAUGUUUUGAAAUCCGAUGAAGCAGAGCGUGCAGCGAUCAUUGAGAAUGCACCAGCUGAAAGUACCAUUGACGAAUCUGUUGUUAAUGUUGAAACUGUAACUGAGUCGGGGUACAUUGUUAAGAGGGCCGCUUCAAACGAUCUCAUGGCUGAGUUGGAAAAGCUGGCUGCUGCUCGAUUGGAGAAGGAAGCAAGUAACAAUACUGUAAAUCCUGUCAGAGAAGUAAGUGAGGAUGAUGUCAAGGAUGUCUCGGGAGAGACCACCGUUGUAACUACUAGCAUAUCGGAGGGAGCUAAUGAGUCGUUGUCUAAGAAGGAAGACGAACCCGCUUUGAUAGGAUCCAAUGUGCCCGAGGAACUUGAAGGGAAUUCUCUUGAAGUUCAGUCGGCGAUUACUACAGACCUAGAGAAAGUUAGCUCUACUCCCACACCUAGUAACGCCGAAAAAGAAUCUCCUGAAGCGACUGAGGUACGAAUUGUGGAAGAAGGCAAGUUGGAAAAAGCAGAUCCUUCAGUUGUGAAUGAAGAAUUGUCGAAGGAAAUCCUGGAAGACCCAGAAGUGGUACCUAGUCCAGCGAAGAUGUAUACUGCCUUAAAAGCCGUCGACGGUGAUAUGCCAGUUUUGAAGUCAGAGAAUGGAAAUGUAGCUGGGGAUGAAAAUGUAGAAUCAGAAUCACGGGUUCUUCCAGCGGUUGAUUUCGCAGGCAAGGAUGGUGACACGGACGCUAAUACAGCGGACGAGGAUAAUGAGAAUGAUGAAGAUGAUGUAGAUGAAGAUGAAGACGAAGACGAUGCAGAUAUGGAUACAGCAAAGGCGCUAGCAGAGUUGGCUAUGACAGCUGGAAAAUCUGGUAAUCCCGCUUUUGUAGAUUGCUUAUCUCAAAUUUUUCUUACACUUAUUGUUCUUAAGUCACAUGUCCUUGCUUUGUCUUCUAUCUUGCAACCUUCAGCGGAUUGCUAUGCGGAAUAUCCCAGCAACGUGUUAUGAUACAGUUGUCCUUGAGAUGGCACGCUUGAAAUUUCAUGUUUUACCCGCUUGUCUUGUUCGGUUGUUUUCAGCACUGUAAUGUACAUGUUGACAGAUUUCAGCACUUUGGAUGAUUUUCUGCUGUUGACAAGUCAUCAUCGGACUCCUGGCCCGUGUUUUCAAAGCAUUUUGUCUUUGAGUUUCUCUUAGUGUUACUUUCUGUUUUGGGUACUUGUGAGGAACCCUUUGUCUUGCUUUUAUGUAAUAAGGAAUUGUUUGCGUUGAUCUUUUUUCAGGCGAUGUUUCGGAGAGCGGCACCAAGCCAUCCAUGGGUGCAGCGGGACCCUCUUUGCCUUCUUUACCUCAACGGCCAGCUGUUAGAAAACCAAUUGCUGCAACAGCAUCGGACUCGCCUGGCAGGAACACUCAGCGUCCUAACGGUGCCCUAUCAACUCAAAUUACAAGCACCACUGAUGAGAGCGCUAGUAGCGACGCAGCAGAAGGCGAUGAAACUAGAGAGAAACUUCAGAACAUCCGAGUGAAGUUCUUGAGGCUUGCUCACCGAUUGGGACAAUCCCCGCAAAAUGUGGUUGUAGCCCAGGUGCUGUACCGUUUAGGCUUGGCCGAGUCAUUGAGAGGCGGCAGCGCUCCCAACCGCUCGGGAGCAUUCAGUUUCGACCGCGCUAAUGCCCUAGCCGAAGAGCAGGAAGCAGCCAACCAGGAAGAGGAGCUUGAUUUUGCAUGCACAAUUUUGGUUCUAGGAAAGACUGGGGUUGGAAAGAGUUCGACUAUCAAUUCAAUAUUUGACGAGCGCAAGUCUGUGACAAGUGCCUUUAAACCAUCCACCAACAAAGUACAGGAGGUCAUCGGCACGGUACACGGCAUUAAGGUAUUGGUCUGGACAGGAUUGACAUUCAGUGUAAUAUCCCUAUAAAUUUUUGAAUUUGGAUGAUGUUAUGGACGUUGGGUUAAUGCAGAAGCGUAAUCUCGACCACUUCUUCUUCUACUUCUUUUCCUGUAUAUAUAUAAUAAUAAUAAUAUAUUAAUUUAUUAAUUUUAUACUGGAAAGGGAUACUCAUGUGUUACUUUUCGAUGUUCUUUUGCAGGUAAGGGUGAUAGACACACCCGGACUGCUCCCUUCUGUGGCAGAUCAACAGCACAACGAGCGUAUCAUGGGGCAAGUCAAGAAGUACAUCAAGAAGGCGUCUCCAGACAUAGUUUUGUACUUUGAUCGUUUGGAUAUGCAGAGCCGUGACUUCGGAGAUCUGCCUUUGCUGCGGACCAUCACUGACCUAUUUGGAGCCGCGGUUUGGUUUAAUGCCAUUGUGGUGUUGACCCACGCCUCAUCCGCCCCUCCAGAUGGGCCCAAUGGAGUUCCUCUGAGUUACGAGAUGUUUGUAGCACAGAGGUCUCACGUAGUGCAGCAGACAAUUCGACAAGCAGCUGGAGACAUGAGACUGAUGAACCCCGUGUCUCUAGUAGAAAAUCAUCCUGCUUGCAGAACCAACCGCACUGGUCAGAGGGUUCUGCCUAAUGGACAGAUUUGGAAGCCACAAUUGCUGUUGCUGUGCUUCGCCUCGAAGAUAUUGGCAGAAGCAAACUCAUUGUUAAAGCUCCAGGAGACAACAGCUCCGGGUAGACCGUUUGGGCAGCGGUCCCGGGUGCCACCUCUGCCAUUUUUGCUUUCCUCUUUGCUUCAAUCUCGAGCACAGUUGAAGUUGCCAGACGAACAAGCUGGAGAAUCAGACGAGUCCGAUGACGAUGAGGAAGAAGAGGACUCGGAUGCUGAUGAUUAUGAUGAACUCCCUCCUUUCAGGUGCAUUUUGGUUUAUCGUCGUUUGCAAGAAUAUAAACAUGCGUCUAAAUUUUCAUGGUUAUUCAGCUCUUUGAUGUAUCUACUUUUUUAUCUUCAUUUCUUGAACUAGUUCUCGUUGGCCUGAUGCCCGUCCUCAACUAUCCUUUAUUUUCCGAUUGUUAGUCUAAUGGUUCCCAACCUCCCAAAAUUUCUAGCUUAAAUGGUAUUUCAUUCCUGUACUUAUGACGCAUUUCAAUAUUGCAGGCCACUCUCCAAGGAAGAGUUGGAGGAUCUUACCAAAGAGCAAAGGGAAGAUUACAUGGAGGAGUUGGCUGACCGAGAAAGGAUGUUCCAAAAGAAGCAGUAUAGGGAGGAAAUUCGCAGAAGGAAGGAAGCCAAAAAACGUCAGGCACAGAUGUCUAAGGAAGAGCUGGCUGAGGCUGAGGAAGCAGAAGAUGAGGCAGGGAAUGCCGCUGCAGUGCCUGUUCCGAUGCCAGACAUGGCGUUGCCUCCUUCAUUUGACUCUGACAAUCCCACACAUAGGUAACUUCACAGCACCGCACAUGGCUCAAGCUGAUCAUUUUCAAUCGGAAAGUUGGAAAACGAUCCCCUGACUCAAACUUGAUAUCGUUUUGAUCCCUUUGGAGUUACCCGUGUGCAGGUAUCGUUACCUGGAGACUGCGAACCAGUGGCUAGUACGUCCGGUAUUGGAGACCCAUGGGUGGGACCACGAUGCUGGGUACGACGGUUUCAACGUGGAGAAAAUGUUCGUGGUGAAGGAGAAGAUUCCUGCUUCCGUGUCGGGCCAGGUGACGAAAGACAAGAAAGAAGCCCAGGUGAACUUCGAAGCAGCGGCUUCGUUGAGGCACGGAGAGGGGAAGGUGACUCUGACUGGGUUCGACGUUCAGACGAUCGGAAAGGACUUGGCGUACACGGUGCGGGCAGAGACGCGGUUCAACAAUUUCAAGAGGAACAAGACGACGGCGGGGGUGACUGCGACGUACCUGAACGACACGAUCGCGGCGGGAGUGAAGCUGGAGGACAGGGUAUUGAUAGGGAAGAGGGUGAAGUUGGUGGUGAACGGAGGGGUGCUGACAGGAAAGGGCGACAAAGCAUACGGUGGAAGCCUGGAGGCGACGUUGAGAGGGAAGGAGUAUCCUUUGAGUCGGACGCUGUCGACGCUGGGGUUGUCAGUGAUGGACUGGCACGGCGACCUGGCGAUCGGGGGGAACCUGCAGUCGCAGUUCAUGGUGGGGAAGACGAUGAUGGUGGGAAGGGCGAACUUGAACAAUAGGGGGUCGGGUCAAGUGAGCAUACGGGCGAGCAGCUCGGAGCAGCUGCAGAUGGUGUUGAUUGGGAUUGUUCCGAUAUUGAGGUCUCUAAUCAACUGCCGUUUCGGCUUCGGUGGUCAGUCCCAACAAUAAAUUUCGUAGAUAGCUACAGGAUAGUUUUGGCCCCCAGUUGGCCUCCUCCUUACAGCUAGCUCUGUACAUGUGUGCUUUGGAUGCUCAGCAAAAUCUUGUAGAAGAUUCAUGUUUUGGUGCGGAGUAGAAUUGCUUGAUGUACAGGCGCUAUGAUGACGACAGUUAUGCCAAGUCAGUUGCUUGUAUCGGCCAAGAAUUCCGUUCUCUUGUCCGUCAAUUGGAGAGUUUUAGUGCGAGUUUUGUUAGGGCUGUAGUUGCAGUUUGGAGACCUUAUGAUUUUGCCCCUCGGUCGCCAACUUUUAGUGUGGAUUUUAGUUAUCUGCACGUAUGUGCUCUGUAUUGUAGUAGACUGGAGUUGAGUAGGGCAUGGGGUCGCAGAAAAGGAGGGAAUUAUCUGUGGGUAUGAGAUCUUGUAGCGAGUCUGGGCUGUUACUGAUAUCUUAUCACUGACACAGACCGUCAGCUGAAUAGGCAUUUCUGUUUGGACUGAAGAUGAGCUUCGUAAUGUUGUAGUCAAUGCAACCUAUUUGAAGAUGUCCUGCAUUUCGAGGUUACUCCUCUCAUUGCACACAUCAUUGAGUUUAUUUCCUUGAAUUUCUUUGAGCUGUUUUUUCAGCAAAGCUCCUACUCGUGUCUCAUCAGUCGGAAUCCUAGCACGAUCUGAAUUCUCAAUGAACUCUUGAAUUAUGUUUGUGUAAAUUGUAAUCAGGUCUUUGUGUCGUGGUCCCUUAGUUGACCUCUAUAUCAGAAGGUUGGCCAACCACUUAGAAGUCGUUGCAAAAGCUGAACCCGCUGGCCAUCUCAGUCACCGUCUGCUUGAGGCCGUUAUCAAUUCGGAACACAAGCGGAGUGUGGGAUCAAUCGUUGAGCGAGUCUGCGCGUGGAUGGAUAGAAUGGAGGCUGAGGAGAACCCUCCAGCUGUCUCUUGCAUGAUCAUGUCUCUUAAGAAUCCUUUUUGGAUCGUGGAACAUAACAUUUCUUCAAAACCGCAGAACUUCGUUACAAGAAGCCAAUCGGUGGAAUAUACACAGCGAGAAACUGUUCGUGUGCAUCACGGUAAACGACCAAACCGCGAUUUCCAGAGCUCAGAGCCUCUUGGCUCAUCCACCCGUCACUUUGCCACUCUUUCCUUAACUGGCCAGUCUUCUGAACUUGCUUGUCCGCCUGGUUGCUUUGAUUGCUCUGCUUGCUCCUUCAUUCCGAAACAAGUUUGCGAGUCUCUUUGAACGGACACUGUCCAUAAAACAUUGCCCGACACUGAGUUAUUGUCUGCGUGUGUAUCCACCACUGGAAGAGCUAGAAAAUGGAUUGGUAACCACGUUCAGUUCUACUGUUUCAUCUUUUUGGUGUAUUUUGACAUGUUUGCUCUAUUGAGAAGCUUCUCUGAAGAAUGUUACAUAGUGGAGGAGGUAUUUGAAUUCUGGGUUUGGAUUCUGAUGUUUUUAUCUGGAGAAUGAGUCAAGUCCUGAGGGUUUCGUGUUCGCUGGGCGGUAUAGAAUUCGAGUGAGCGGUUUUUUUUCGGUAGUUUUUGGACUGUGAAUGGCAUUGUUGUGUUUACAGAUUAAUUUCGGUAGUGUUUUUCGCGGUUUGAGUGGUUUGGGAUCGUCGAGUUAGCUUCUAGGGCGGGGUUUUGGAGGGGCAACGGGGUCUUAUCCUGUGCGGGGAAGGUUGUCGUCGUGCCUUGCUUUUAGCACAGUUUCCCGUUCCAGCGGUGAUUGGAUUAGCAUGUUUCACAGAGAAUUGUAUUUUAUUCCGUUCUGUUCCGAGUGAUGAAGCGCUUGGUUGGGUGGAGGUUAUUUGUGCUUUGUCUCGCAGGAAGAGUAGGUUUAAUCGUUUCAAUGCUGUCAUCAGGACUAUUUUUAGAGUUCUGAUGAAGGAAUUUUGUAACGCAGAGCAUGAGCAGGUGAGAAGAAUCACUUUCUGGGAGGACGUUGGUGCUGUUGCCUUGAGACGCUGGUGAAUUGAAACACUUCAGUAUAAUUAGGGGAACGUUUCGAGCAGGCAUGGCGAACAUCCCUUCGCUUACCUCCAGGAAAAAUACGAACAUCUUCAAGAGCAAGGAGGCGGUGAGAAUUCUAAACUCGAGAUCAACAUUCUGGUUGCCUGUGGACAGACGUAGUUAUCUGUGACGGUGGAAGAGGGGAUUAUGAAUGUCAUCGUUUCUGGGUUUUUGUCAAGGUCAAAUCGUCAGAUAUGAAGUUAUAAUCGUUCCUGAGACUUCAAUCGCCGAGUCUGUUGACAUUUCUAGGUUUAUGUGAGGGUUACAAUCGCCAGGGAUGGUACGGUUUUAAAACAAAAUUUGGUUUUAGCUACAGAAUUUAUUGUUGCUCAGUAUUGGCAUAGGUUUUUAAUUUUCCAGUUUUUCCACGAAUUUUUUACGAUUUUCUUGAUUUUUGCCGAUGUGCGUUCAUGACAGGAAAUUGAUUGCUGUGAAUGAGACAUUGAGGAAGAGUAGUUCAGAAAACAUUGGCAGUUAUGGACGCCCUUCGCAAGCUGGGUAGUUUGGGCAGGAGACGGGAUGAGGUAGAUACGGCGAGCAGCCCUCUGAAGAACGAAGCUUCAGCAGCAGAAAUUCCCAGGGAUCCUGUGCAAAUUAGCGGCAAAGAUGAGGCAUCACCUUCGGGCCUUACACCCAUCAGGGUGCGGGUACCAGAGGAUGUGAGAUCGGAAAGUGAAGUCAAACGAGACGGCGAUGAAGAAAGCGUUGGCAGUGGAGAGAGUUUCGACAGUGCCUUGGAGAGGAUGGAAGCUUCUUCUAUCACAAGUUUUGAGCCUCCUAGUCCGAUGGAGUCUAUCGAUGGGCGGUUCCAGUUUGAAGAUGGGGUAAGGGAGGAUUUAGCAGAAAGUGGACUAGACGGAAAUUUUUCUUAUGACGACGACGACGACGAUGAAGAAGAAGAAGAAGACGGGAGUGAGGAAGGGGAGUCCACUAGUAGCAGUAUCAUCAACUCGGAGUAUUCGUCUAGCGCCAGCAAUACGGAGGAUGAAAUGGAUAUCUCGGGGUAUGGAGCUUCCUCAGCGCGAACCAUGCUUGUGUCCAAUGAUGCAAGUAAAUCUGAUGAGGAAGCAAUUGAUGGUAAACUUUAUAAAUCUUUUACAUGUGUUUUGAUGUUAAAUUUCUUUGUUGUAUGAAUCGUGUCUGUAUGAAUCUAAAACGGGGUCGAAUAUAAAGGGUCGCUUGCUUGGCAUUUGUAACCCUGGCAAUAACUUGGACCAAUUAGAGUCACAAACUGAAAGGCUUCGGUGUGAUCGGCUUGUGGGAGUUCGACUUGCUCUAGAUGGUUAGCAGAAGAAGAGGCCGGUGUUGAAGAGAGGUUUGAGGAGGCAUAUGACGGAGGAAUGAACUCAGCCUGAGAAGAGCUAGAAACUGUCCCCAUUGGAAGAAGAACUACUAGAGAGUCCAGAGAGGAGUCAAAGGCUAGGGUUUCGUGGAGGGAUUUAACGAGGGAUGACGAAGUAUUUUUUGUUGAAACCCCUUGACAGAACCGAAGUACAAGUUAAGGAACGUCGUAACUGGAGAGGAGAAUAUGAGUGGUGGUCUUUCAGUUGAGAACGAAGCAAGAGGGGUUGCUCUUUCGUCUUGGAAGUCGGAAUUGGAAGACUUCUACGAAGCUUCACUGGAGGAUAACGAUGUUCAAGAGGAAUUGGCAGAGAAGAUAAUUAAGGUAGCCAGUGAACAGAAUGACGAAGAAGAUGAAGAAGUACAUUUUCCUGUCAUCGCGAACGAAUUGCCCGGGAGGAUUACACGGAAUCGGACAAUGAUCGAUAGCCCAGCUCAUCUUUACAGUGCCGUGAAAGCAGUUGAUUCAACACUUCCUGCGUUGAAGUCAGAGAGUACGAAAUCAAUUACACAGGGUUUUGUUGAGGCUGAGGAAGCUGAAUCGGACGUUUUCACAGAGGGUGAAGAUGGAUAUGAUGACGAAGAUGAAGAUGGCGAUAUACAAAUGGAUGUUUCGCAGGCUACUGAAAAAUCUGGUAGGUUCUGGUCGCGACCUAUACAGCUGUCUUCAUGUAAUGCAGAUUUUUAUGUUUUUCAAGUGUUUUGACAUAUUCCAAGAUGUAGUCUGGAGAAAAACAAUCCCAUUUUCAAUUGCAGAAGCCUUGAAUGAAAGUCUAGAAGAAAAGUAAUGCAACUGUUUAUCAAUUCUUUGCCAUUUCAUUAGACAUAUAAUGUGGCUGAGGUAUGCCUCUUCGCUGUAGGAACUCCGGAUGAGAGCGAAAGCAAUCCAUCAAUGGGUGCAGGUGGACCUCGUUUGCCGUCUUUACCCCAACGAUCAUCUGCUAGAAGAUCUGCUGCCACAACAGCAACGGGUGUGCCACGUCCUAAUACUGCCUCGUCAACCCAAUCAGCAGCCACCAGUGACGCGAGCAUAAGCAGUGAAUCUAGCGAAGCGAAUGAAAUCCGUGAGAAACUCCAGAAUAUCAGAAUAAAGUUCUUGAGACUGGCUCGCCGCUUGAAUCAAUCUCCGCAGAACGUGGUUGUAGCACAGGUGUUGUAUCGUCUAGGCUUGGCAGAAUCCUUGCGAGGCGGUAGUUCUCUCAACCGCACUAGAGCAUUCAGUUUCGACCACGCCAACGCUCUCGCAGAGGAGCAGGAAGCUGCUAAGUAUGAGGACCUUGACUUCGCAUGCACGAUUUUGGUUCUUGGAAAGACUGGGGUUGGAAAGAGUGCGACUAUCAACUCUAUUUUUGAUGAGUGCAAGACUGUGACUAGUGCCUACUAUCCGUCUACCACUAAAGUCCAUGAAGUUAGUGGAACUGUGCUCGGCGUCAAGGUAUGAACUUAGUUUGUUACUGUUCCGUUUGUCGAUUCAUUUCAGAUGGCAAAUUAGUUGUUUAGUUGUUAUGAUCCAACCUGGAGGAAAAUUUACGCUGAAUUACUUUAUUGGGCUCAGGUGAGGUUUAUAGACACACCUGGGCUUCUCCCUUCUACGGCUGACCAACGGCACAAUAAGAACAUUAUGAGACAAGUGAAAAAGUACAUCAAAAAAGUUUCUCCAGACAUAGUUUUGUACUUCGAUCGUAUGGACAUGCAAACUCGAGACUCUGGAGACGUGCCUUUGCUGCGGACCAUCACCGACGUGUUUGGAGCCGCUGUGUGGUUCAAUGCUACAGUGGUGUUGACCCACGCGUCUAAGGCCCCUCCAGAUGGAUCAAAUGGGACUCCCAUGAGUUAUGACUAUUUUGUAGCACAACGGUCACAUUUUGUGCAACAGACAAUUCGUCAAGCAGCUGGAGACGCAAGGCUUCAGAAUCCGGUGUCGUUGGUGGAGAACCACCCUGCUUGCAGAAUCAACCGAAGUGGGCAGAGAGUCUUACCCAAUGGACAGCCAUGGAAGCAACAAUUGUUGUUGCUAUGUUUUGCCUCAAAGAUAUUGGCAGAAGCGAACACGUUGUUGAAGCUUCAGGAAGCAUCAACUCCUGGAAAGCCAUUUGGACAGCGGUCUCGGGUGCCACCUUUGCCAUAUUUGCUUUCGUCUUUGCUUCAAUCUCGAGCUCAGUUGAAGAUGCCAGAUGAGCAACAUGGGGAGUCCGAAGACUCUGAUGACGACUCUGAUGAGGAGGAUGAGGAGGAAGGCGAUGAAUAUGAUGAUCUUCCACCAUUUAGGUACAACUCACUUUUAGUGGGCAAUCAUCUAGUGUCAACCUUCAUCUUUUUUUAUUUAAUUUACUAUUUCUUAACCAAAAUUGUGUGUGUGUGUGUGUGGAGGUUUUAUCAGUUCAAAAAGUUGAUUCCUUACUUAUGAGUUGUGUCCUGUUUUAGGCCGCUUUCGAAGCAAGAGCUGGAGGACCUUAGUAAGGAGCAGAGGCAGGAAUAUGCAGAAGAACUUGCUGAUCGUGAAAGGUUAUUUCAAAAGAAGCAAUAUAGAGAGCAAAUCCGAAGAAGAAGAGAACGAAAAAAGCAAGCGUCUGUGAUGAGCAAGGAAGAGCCAUCCAUACCUGGUGAUGGAGCAGAAGAUGAGUCAGGGCAACCUGCUACUGUGGCUGUUCCGAUGCCAGACAUGGCGUUGCCUCCUUCAUUUGACUCUGACAAUCCCACACAUAGGUAACUUCACAGCACCGCACAUGGCUCAAGCUGAUCAUUUUCAAUCGGAAAGUUGGAAAACGAUCCCCUGACUCAAACUUGAUAUCGUUUUGAUCCCUUUGGAGUUACCCGUGUGCAGGUAUCGUUACCUGGAGACUGCGAACCAGUGGCUAGUACGUCCGGUAUUGGAGACCCAUGGGUGGGACCACGAUGCUGGGUACGACGGUUUCAACGUGGAGAAAAUGUUCGUGGUGAAGGAGAAGAUUCCUGCUUCCGUGUCGGGCCAGGUGACGAAAGACAAGAAAGAAGCCCAGGUGAACUUCGAAGCAGCGGCUUCGUUGAGGCACGGAGAGGGGAAGGUGACUCUGACUGGGUUCGACGUUCAGACGAUCGGAAAGGACUUGGCGUACACGGUGCGGGCAGAGACGCGGUUCAACAAUUUCAAGAGGAACAAGACGACGGCGGGGGUGACUGCGACGUACCUGAACGACACGAUCGCGGCGGGAGUGAAGCUGGAGGACAGGGUAUUGAUAGGGAAGAGGGUGAAGUUGGUGGUGAACGGAGGGGUGCUGACAGGAAAGGGCGACAAAGCAUACGGUGGAAGCCUGGAGGCGACGUUGAGAGGGAAGGAGUAUCCUUUGAGUCGGACGCUGUCGACGCUGGGGUUGUCAGUGAUGGACUGGCACGGCGACCUGGCGAUCGGGGGGAACCUGCAGUCGCAGUUCAUGGUGGGGAAGACGAUGAUGGUGGGAAGGGCGAACUUGAACAAUAGGGGGUCGGGUCAAGUGAGCAUACGGGCGAGCAGCUCGGAGCAGCUGCAGAUGGUGUUGAUUGGGAUUGUUCCGAUAUUGAGGUCUCUAAUCAACUGCCGUUUCGGCUUCGGUGGUCAGCCCCAACAGUAGUUUCAUAGUAUAGCAUCGAUAUUGUGUAGUCAAUCCUUAUCUUUAGUCUGAGCUGAGCGUGAGAGACUUGAAGUGGCAGCAUUCUACAUAUCGUUUUUGACAGAGAGCGCUUAGAAAUGGCGGAUUUUCGCUGCCUUCACGCACGCAACUUGAGAGACCUAAAGAUGGUCGCAGGAAUUAGUUCUAGUCACUUGGUUCCUUAGUUUGACUAGCAAUGAGCCUGAAUUGGGACAUGCAGGUAAUCAUCCACUGUCGUAGGGAGUUCAUCACCAGUGUGUUUGUGGGCUUUUUUUCGCUCUUCUUUUUGUAAUUUACUGGGCUGAAUCUGGAGAUAUAUGUGUGUUGGUAGAAGCUAGUCUUUUGUUCCAACACAGUGGGUCGCCACGGGUUUCAUCUCACUGGAGUUCUACUAGAGAAAAUGUUCCCUUUGAUCUGGUAUGAUGAUCUUUGUAAUCAUUGUGAUGGCCAGUUGCCCAUUCCGAGCCUGCGAAUUCAAUGCAGUGCAGUACCUGCAUUGAAUUUGUCUUUCAGAUUUGAAAACUCAGAUCAUUCCCACGGAGCUGUGACCAAUGGAGGUGAUUGCAGGGAGAUGGUAGCUGUGUGAUUAUUUAACACUUUGCUUUGCGAAGUGGAACAUUGGUCGAGAAUGAGUCCAGUAGGAAGAGUGGCUUGAACGUGAACUUUGUAUUGCAUGAACUUUUGAUAUCUUUUAUUGCAUGCCAUUAUUGUGUAAAGAUUUUGACAGAAGGAUUCAGGGAAGAGAUUUUCCAACACGAAUGUAUUUCUUAUCCCCAGAAACGAAGUUUGCCUAUUUGCUGGCAUUGGAACUGUCAGCGAGAUCCUCUUUUGCUCCCCCCAAAGUCACCUUCAAAAUCUCAAGUGCGAUAGGAGAAAUGUGAUGUUUUGAACUUACGUGAAAACUGUGCCUCCAAAUCAAACAACAUGACAGUCAUUUAAGGACUAUUUGAUCUCCAAAAGCAACAAGCUGUCUACUUGAGAUGUUGAUCAUCUAACAUGUACUUUUUUUACAUUAAAUCUAAAAAUAAAAAAUGGGUUCUCAUUCAGAAGAAAAAAGAAAAAUGAUGCUUACCACAUAAUUAAUUUUAAAAAUUAUUUUGCAAUGUCUAAUUUUAUAUCAAUUUGCACCUGGAACUUUGUGUAACUUUUUAUGAGCAGAUAUGAUUUUAUGUUCUACUUUAGAAUUUAAUUGUUCUGCAAACAAUGGUUUGAUAGAUGCUGUGAAAUGUAUAUAAUUUUUGUGAAUAUGAAUCUUUUUACUUUUAUUUUUUUUUAUAAACUAAUACAAAAAAUAAAUUAUAUAUUAGAAUCUAUUGUUGUUUAAUUUAAAACAAUAAAGCAAAGAAAUAUUAUUACAUAAUUGCUUAUGGCAAUAAAGAUAUGGUUAAAGUAGUAAUUGUGGCUACCCAUACAAAUGUUUUGCUUGAAGAUGUUUGGUGCCAUUGAACUUUAUUGGAUUGCUUUGGCAUGCUUUGUAAGUUUUGUGGCACACUUGAAACAACAUUUCUAACAAUUGCAACAAUAGAAACAAUUUUUUUGUUAAUAUGAUUUGCUUAGACUAAUUUUUGUAGUAUUUUAAUAAAUCUCUUCUUAAGAGUAUCUUACAAUGCAAGGAAUAUGAUAAUAUUUUAGCUACAAUUAAUGAAAAUGGUCUAAAAGCUUCAAGUGCUUGAAAAUAUUAUUUUAAUUUAGAUCUUGUAUUAUUUUUUUUCAAUAAAAAUACAUAGAAGUAAUAUUAUAUCUUAUAUUUGGUAUUUUUUAUAAAAAUUAAAUUUACAUAAAAUUUAAUAUAUCAUAUAUUUAACAAUUAUACAUAAUAUUGUUUUUUCAUAUAUACCCCUCAAAUAUCCUAAAAUAUCAAGAAUACCCCUACAUUCUUGAUAUGUCAGGAUAUUUGAGUAAUAUAUAUAUAUAUAUAUAUAUAUAUAUGAUUUUUUCUCUUAAUAAAUUGAAUAUUUUGAUAAUCAGUCAAAAUCGUGUAAACAUAAAUUUGAAACACAUGUUUUUAAUAACUUAUACAAAAAAUAAGCUAAAGCUACAUCUAUCAAAGCUGAUUUAAUAUUGAUGAUAUUUAAAAAUUAUGAAUUUUGUUACUUAUGUGGAAAAUGGAUACGAAGUAUGGGUUUUCAAUGAUAUUUCAAUGUGUUCCAAUAAUGGAUUAAAGUAUGGAUUAAAGUAUGGAUUAAAGUAUAGAAUAUGAUAAAUGUUUUGCAAAUGUAAGAUUUUUUUGGCUCAUGUGCUUCGCAAUCAACAAUUGUGAAACCUCUAUGGAUUGUUUUAAGUGCAUUCUACCCAAUCUACAUGAUGACCUCUACAUUGUUUUUUAGAAUGUUGGCCUCUACAUUUUUUUUGAAAUAAUAAAACAAGUUUUUCAAUUAUAGAAUGCAAGUGCAUGAAGAAACCUGUUAUAUUCAUCAAAAAAUAUGCCUUGAAGAGAGGCAAUAAUUAGGACAAUGAGUCUCCUUGUGUAGUGGUGCAUUAUACUUUAACACUUUGUGUCCCCUCCAAUAACUUUGUGGUUGCAGUCUUUUGCAUAAGCAUCUUGUUGGAACAUGAAAACAAAAAUAGAUUGUAAAUGCACCAAGAUCCUUGAAUGCGAUUGCUUUUUAAAAAAAGAAUGCAUGAGAAGAAGAAGAAAAAUAAAGAUAUAUAUAUAUAUAUAUAUAUAUAUAAUAAAGAUAUAUAUAUAUAUAUAUAUAUAUUUCAGUUUUUUUUCCCUUUCAAAUACUUGCUUGCAACUUCUACUAUAUUAAUUCUAAAACCUAUACCUUGCAUGCAUGACUUAAAUUCAAUCGCAAGUCAAACUCAACAACUCAUAAAAGAUGCAAAAUUUCUUACUAUAAAAAUGGUGGGUAUCAUUCAAAUGAUUAGUUGAAACAUGUGAAGAAUGUGAUGCAGCAUAGAAAUAGAGAAAAAAACAUUCCUUCCAUUCUGACUGCAAAUAGUAGAACGACACAGCCCGAACACCCGCUCUGUGAACAGGGCCUUCUCCAUGCCUCCUCCUAUUUGGUCACCAGUUCGAAUCUCCAUUCCCUUCCGCCAAGGACAAGAUUAUGAUCGGAGUGAGCGUCUUGUGCUGUGGGCUCAAACUUGUCAAGCUUUGGUAGUUGCCGAUAUUGUGGGCUGUGAUUGAAGGUGUGCUCCACUUUCCCAUUUCGUCACAUACCGUAUAAAUUUUAUAUCUUGUUAUUUGGAGAAUCAACGCAAGCGCUUCCCUUUCGACCUCAUAAUUUUGAUUUAUGAAGUGACAGAUAGAGUGAUCAGAAAUCAUGGGAUAUCACUGGUAAGUCAGCCACCUCAAUUGUUGCCUCACCUACACCUGCCUCGGCAAUGCCACUGGACAUAACUGCUUCAGUCGAGAGCUCUAUUUCAGUGGAAAACUCGCUGGGUGGUAUGAUCAGUAGGCAAGAUAAUGCUCCAGAAAAUAUUUGUUUGUAAAAUGGAGACUCUUGUGACAAGAUCGUGUCAAUAUGGUGACAGGAUCUGGUGAGAUGUGCCGAUGCGCAGCCGGUUUGACCCCUUCAUCACCUGCAGCAGUUUUGUAUAGAGAAUGCCUAAUUUCGAGGUCUUCGUUCCGCUCUGCACCGACGAAUUUCCACACAAAUCUGCUUCAAAAUUUGCUAUAUACUGCUUCGAUGCUGACGGAGAUUUCACAGCAUUGCGAGAAUUUAACGAUCCAAAUAAAGAUGUCAGGUUGAAAAAUUACAUGUUCUUUAGACGAAAUUCAAGCCAGAAACUUUACGAUGGCUAGAGAUUUGGCACACCGGAGAAACUGUAAGCAAUUUGGCUGCCAGAGACGGGGAAACAACAUCGACAGGAGUGGACUUUUUGUCGUUCUCAGAAACAUAAUUAGGCAACAAUUGCAAGUGCAAUCCUAGGUGUGUUUGCCUCUCAUUAGGUCGAAGAAGGGUUGCUCGGGAACUACCUGAUCCUCACAUCCAAGAUUGCUUCAGACACUAUGUGUCUAUCGGGAACGAUGCCAUCCACAAACAGACAUUUGACGAGUAUGGAUUCCGCGUCAAGAGGUUCAAAGAAGCUAUCACAAGUUAUGGAAGUUCUAAAAGUCGACUUAGAUGUCAAGGUACCUGGUGCAACUCUCCCCUAGGACUGAUGCAAAUCACGUUCUUAUACAGUAGGAGCAGCUCGGCUAGCUACUCCAGAUACACAAUGUUUUCCCCAUAAAUGUUCUCGACCUGAUUCCAUGUUGUUGCGACUGGUUGCGUGGAGUCUGGUUACAUGGGACAGUGCAGCCAACAGAGGUAUCGGUAAAAAUUCUGAGACCUGAUACUGCGGAAGAAGGUGUUAUUCCUUGACUGCCACUUAAUGGUGAAGCAGACCUUGCGACUCUAGCGCAGGUAUGUAUCAGUAUACUAGCCAACUAUGGGAAGCCGCAGAGGGCUGAUAAUUUCACAGACAGCCAGGGCAGAAUCACAGCAAUCAAUAUGGCAUUACGCAAUUUAUUUCAUGAACAACAAGCAUAGCCAUGGGGUUCUUCCUUUAACGGUCUCACAUUUGCGAUCAGCAAUGUUAUAACAACACCAGUUCUGAUUUCGUUACAUCCCAGGUUUCCUCUUGGAGGUAAUCAGAAUGAACGCCCACAUACAGGCAUUCCGACAUCAGUACAUUUUGUUUACUGGGAAAUGCGAUCUGUAAACUGUUGAUGCGGACAUGUGACUACUUACGUCUAUACUCAUUGAAAUGACCUGGACGAAGAUGGCACACAUAAGUGAAAAAAUUGCUUUCUACCGGAGAACUCCACUGCAUUCUUUCAGAACAGUUCCUAUGGAAACGAGUGCGAGUGCGAGUGGUCCAUGUUGUGGGCCGCUAGACAUUGAGUUGCUGGGGGUAGGCAAAUAGUUGUAGGAACGAGGGGAAUCAGGA